AAUUUUAAUAAAUAGAUAACAAUAAAAAAGAGGGUAAGGAAAAAUCGGGAAAAGAAAAGAGAAGAAAAGGGGAAGAACAUUUGUUCUUCUUUUCUCUUCAUCUUCCCCAAAAUGCUGAAACCCCAGAGGAGAAAAGGGAGAAAGGAAUUCUUUAAAAUUUCUUCUUUUCCUUAACUGUGAGAAGGGAAAUCGAUGGUGAAAGGAAAGGGGAAAACUUCAUAUUUUCUUCUAUAUUAUAUAUAUAUUAUCUGUACUUUUACUUUUCUUUUCUUUUGUUGGUCCGAAUGGAUGAAAUAAAAAGGAAGGUCGGUUGCAUGGAGGGAGAGGCCAUGGAUUUGGCAUAUUAAAUAGUUGUUUCUUCAUAUGAAGAAGCUUGAGAGGUGGGAGACGGUUAAAGUGGUAAAGGCAAGGAGAAAGUUUGUGCUCGUAACAGCAAUUUGGGGAAGAAUUCGGUAAGUAUUCCUUGAAAUUUACACACUUACUCAUUUAGUUAAUUGACAAGUCGAAUUAAACUAGUUGGUGACUUCAAUUAAGUCGUCUGAAUUUUAUUAUUAAACUGUCAAUUAGCUGCUGUUGAUUUUCGGUUAGGAACAAAUAAAUCAUGUUGGAAAUUUGAAGAAAUGGUUGUAUAUAAAAAAAAAUGGCUGCUGUUGGUUAUGGUGUGAGUUUAACUUAUUUCUUGAAUGAUUAAUUGUACUCUAAUGCUGGUAUGUGUGAUGAAAAUUAAGGGAAAAGUCUUGAUGAUUGUUAGUUGUUGAGUGAACUGUCGAGGCAUGCAAACUCCAUGCAUGCUGUCCGAAUAUGACUUUUUGUAAUGAAAUUAAGGUAACCUGCUACUGCAAUUGAUUAAAUAUUAAUGUCCUAAGCUGAAAUUAGAAGAUGUCAUAGUUAUAAUUAAGAUGUCCUACUGUUUAAUCUUGAUUAAAAUGCAAGUAUUUAUGCUGUAAGUAUUUAUGUUCUCUUAAACCGUUAUUUGAAGCGGAUUAAUCGUCGUAAAUUAAACGGUCUUAAUAAUGAAACUGUGGUAUCUUCAAACAACAAAUUGAGAGGGGUUAUAGCUGUGAUUUAUAGUGCUUUGGUGCCGUGGUUAAAAUGUAUAACUCUGAGAUUGAUAUUGAUGAUGUGCCGUUAAUGAGUAAAUUGUGUUUUAUUUGCCGAAUGACUUGUUAUUUUAGAAGUACAAAUUGAGUCUAGAUUAGCUAGAUUAGUUUAUUGUAAGUUUAAAUGCUGCUCGGAAAUAGUGUAAAAAUUACUGCUAUCCAAUUUUGUGCCCCUAUUAUGCUGUCCAAAAUUUGAACAAAUUAAUGGUUCUAUUUUCAUGUCGAUUGAGGGCUGUAAAGAUAGUCCCAUUUGUUGCAUUAUGCUGUUCAGUUUUGGGACCAAAUAAUUGAGUGUUAUUGGAUUAAAAACCAUGGAUUAUUGCUGUGAUGAGCUAAUAAAUUUUAAUACUAUUGAGUGUGUUCUUCCGGGAUACAAAUGCCCUGCAUGUUGCUGUCUUGUGCUAUCCAAAAUAGGACAAAUUGAAUGUGCUUGUGAGUGAGUUUUUCAAAGGAAACUUUGCAAAUUCUCAUGUUUAAAUUCUAAUGUUUGCAUGCAGGUAAGCUAUGGUUGUAGGGGUUGAUAAAUCGAGUUUAGUAGCUAAAAUAUUAUGUUCUUCUUACUAAGUUCGGUUGUUAGUAGUGAAGUAAAAAUUUGACAAUUAAAUGCUUAGAUGACUGCUGGAAACUACAGCUUGAAAGCUCAUUAUUCCAGUAUGUAAAUACUGAUUUGAAUGUGCUGUAAUAUGUGGAGCAAUUGGUCUGCUGCAUGUAUGAAAUAAAAUAAAAGAAAACAAUAGUUGUUAAAUAUUAGUUUUUGUUGCUGAUCGGAAGGGUUAAAUUCGUUGUUAAAGGGGAUGUAAAUUGGUGUUAAUUAAGCUGUUCGGAUGGGGCUAAUAAAACAGUUUGAAUGUGAUGCUAUUAAGCUGAUUUAAUGUCUUGUAAUGUUGAAGAUUUGAUGAUGUCCGAAGCAUAAGUUAAAGCUGUACAAAACCGAAUAGAAAAUAUUGGUUGUCAUUAUUUUAACUUGGCCGCUGCCCUUAAGGGACAUUUGCGGUCCGAAUGAUGGAAAUAUCGAAAUUUUAGUAUAUAAUUUCCUACCUAAAUUAAUUGAUAGCGAGCUUGAAAUUUAUAUGUACUCGAAUGUUUUAUAUUCACUGUCCAUUUUGCUGUUAUUUAUACUAAUAUAUUGAGUUAACUAAGUUGUCCAAUUUUUGAUGUUAUAUAAAUAGCGAUAUAUGAUAGUUGAUAAUGGUUUGUACUAUGCAGAUGUUUGAUGUUGAUGAUGCUAUGUGAAUAUUUAGAUGAAGUUAUAAAGUUUUUUUUUUGUGUGUGUGUGAACCGGUAUAUAUAUAAUUGGAAAAUAGGAACGAAUAAAUAGGUUAAUAGUGGAGAUACUGAUAUAUAUAUAUUAAUCAUGACUUGGUCAUGGGUCUAAAUGUAUGAUUUUAUUUAUUUAUUUGUAUUGGAAUGAAUGUUUUCAGUUGCUCCGGCAACAAAUGUGAUAUUCUGUUGUUUGGAUCCGAUGAUUGGGUCAGGUAUUGGGUGUUACAACUUACUUGUUCCGUACUUACCUGGAAUCCAGUAGAUACCUUAAUAUUCUAAUUUCACUGUUCUUACUUAAGGCUAUACUGAACAUGCUAAAUCAUUUAAUAUGGAACCCCGUCAUACGGGAAAUCCCUCAGAAUGUGCCACGCAGGCACCUCUUUUAGAUCACACCACAAACCAUUUCUUUACGAUUUUUCCACAAAGGCAGUUCUUUCAGAGUACACCUGAAAGGCAGUUCAUUUACAAUGCGCCAUAAAUGUUAUUCUUUUAGAAUUUGCCACAAAGGCUACUUAUUCAAAGUUUGCCACAAAGGUUAUUCUUUCAGAGUUGGUCACGUAAAUGCUCACAAAAUGCCAACUAACUAGACAUUUCAAGACUGUCGUGUUUGCGAUAUGAAUUUACUUAAAACUCACAUCGCAUGAUUCUUGCCCGUCACUGCUUCGAGACACGCACAUAAUCCCCGGCGACAUAUGUCGUCCUUAAUUCCUUUUUCAGAUAUUGCCAUGGCCAUGGAUUUUUCUUUAGAGUUUUAUAUCAGAGUUUGUGUUUUUUGUCUCGACGGGCUUUGUCAUAUACCACCGCGAUGACCAGACACAAACUUACUUUAUAGAUUUUUCAAGCACUGCCACAAUUUAAACCCAAUACUUCAAUUCCCUAACAUACACCCUAAAGAACACACUUCUCCUAGCCUACAUUCCGGACAGACAUAUACAACCAUACUUUCACAACUCAGUACAUAUACGCCACACAUCACAUACUUGAAUUUAUCAAAUUCUUUUCCAAAUAUACAUACUAUCCCUAACAAACAUUCAUACACUCAUAUAUUUUCUUUAGUGAUCAUUCGUAUAGCCACAUAUAUAACAUACUCAAACUAUACUGUCUAUGUAUCAAAAUUCAUAGUUCGAUCAAUCUCUUACAAACAUACUUCGCUGUGAACAAUAUACAUGCAAGAGUUAGUGUAAAACUCUCCUAACACUCACGACCAACAACUUAAGCUCUAGGCUCAAACAUCCAUUAUGAAACUACAACAACCACCUCUUAUAGAACAUAGGAAUAUCGUCAAAGACUCAUUCAAAAACAAUUCCUUAUUUUUUGAACACUGAUAACCACCAUGCAGAGCCUCGUACUUUAUUCUACUACUCAUAUAUUCUUUAUAGACUACUUUUUCUGAGUUUAACAUGCAAAGUCAUAUUACUUACCCAGACAUGCAAUAAAUAUUGAGCAGAUCCAAGUUACAACAUCUAGCUUAAAGAAGAAAGAAAUGUUUUUGGUUCCAAAAAAAAAUCAGAUAGUAGUAUUUUAGAAGAAGGAAGAAGAAGAAGAAUAACCCUCUAUCUCUAAACACAUACACUUAUAUAGAUAUUCCAAUUUUCUUAUAAGAGCCCAACACUUGUCACCUGAAUUUAGAGCUUGUUUUUCAUAAUGGCCUACAAAAUCUGAGAAUGAAAUAAAUGAAAAUUCAAUAUUUUAAAUACACGGUUAUACAAUCUAGUUGACUCCUAACUAGAUUAUCUUGUAUCAUAACUUGAACAGUACUUUAGACAUAUAGGUGCACUAUACCUCUGGCUUGAACUCAUAUCAUAACUACCUUUUUACUCUACUGUUAUCAUUAACUUACAUAAAGAUCUGUUAAAUCUCAACGAAUAGUACAAACAUCUCAUUGAGCGAUCAAAAUCACCUCAACAAAAAAAUAUCUACUCAUAUCUCUCUACAAAAAAUAAAAAAAUAAAAAAAAAAUCUCUAUAAAAAGUCUAAUUGGACCCCUUCUUCUAUGGUUGGAAAUGAGAGUAUUAUUAGAAUACCAUUGAAUCAAGAGGUAGAUCCAAAGAGUAAUUUGUGUGCGUUUAUAUUCGGAGGAAAUCUAAAUUUUCUUUAAAUUCUAUGAGAGGUGCAUUGAAAUUCACAUGACCCUUAAACCCUAAAGGUUAAUAGUUGGUCCCAUGCCAUCUCUAUUGUCCAUGUUAUAGAGACAUUCCUAUCUAGCUAAUCGGAUGUGACCCCUGGAAUCUCCUCGUUCAUAUUUGGCUAUACAAUUUGGCUAUGUGUACUAAAACCUCUUUGAUUUGAUCUAAUCAUUUAAACCUUCCUCACUUUGAUUUUGUGAAAAUAAGUAGAAUGUUAUUGCAUUUUUAAAGUUUACAAAAAACAAAUGGAUAAUCUAGUAGAUUUAAAGGCUGAUGGUAUGUCAAAAUGUACACACUUUAUCUCAUGGUGUUGUUUUAACAAGUUGGAGCUAUUAUGUUUAAAUUUGAUUAUAUUAAUUGCCCAAAAAAUUCUUUAGUACAUGAAAUUAAAGUUAGUAAUUUGGUAAUUUAGGUAUUAAACGUUUUGAUAUUUACAUUUGAAUAGCUCAAGUGUUUAAUAUUAAACUGCUUAAUUCAAUUUGGUGAAUAGAAAAGUUUUAAGAUACAAAACAGUAAUCGCACACAUUUGGGAUAAUAAAGAUGCUGGUCCAAUAUAUCUUAUUAGAUCCAUUAAAUUGUCCUACAAAGCCCAUAACAGGACACUCAUAAUUAGCCCGAAAAGGCCCAUAUUAUAAACAUCCAAUCACACCCAAACAGGCAAUCCUAUGAAACAAUUCACGUUUUAACUGUAAACUGUAUUUUGUGAGAGUUGACCCUCCACUCACUCAGUUACCUACCCACGCCGCCAAUGGGGUCGCCGGAAACAACCACUACAUCAUUCCCAUCUUUCCUGAAGCCCCUAAUAACCAUAGACGCCUCGGUUUCACUCUUCCUCCACACACUCUUCAAGCCUAUCUUCCCAAUUUUCCUUCUCCUCCUCCUCGAAUACUCCGCCGAUUUCUGGUUCUCCUUCCCUGUUUCCCUCUCUCUGUUCCUCGCUUCCCCUUCCUUUUCGUCUCUAUUCAUCCCUUUCAUCCUCGGCCACCUCCUCGAUCUCGCUUUGAUCGGCCUCAUCAAACUAACCUUCCGCCGUACCCUUCCUCAUUACAACCCAAACAUGUCCCCUGCUGUUCGCGCUGAUAACUUCUCAUUCCCUAGUGGCCACGCUUCAAGGGUUAUGUUUUUAGCUACUCUCUUCCACCUUAUUUUUCAAAACCACGGGGGACUCAUUUCAGAUUUUAUUCUACGGUGGGUUAAAUUUCAACCCGGUUUUUUUCUAUUUGGCGUAUGGGUUUGGGCUAUUCUGACUGCUAUUUCAAGGGUUUUGCUUGGAAGGCAUUUCCUUUCCGACGUUUUGGCCGGGGCGUUUGUUGGGGUGCUUGAAGGGAUUGUUGCGUUUCAGUUUUUGAGAUUUUAGAGAGCGUUCUCAAAGGUAUGGGGUUUGAUUUUUUGUUACUAAUGUUUGUACUUUUUACAUGGGGGGAAUUGUUUUGCUUUGUAAUAAUUGAUUUCAAAGUUGUUGAUAAUUGAAAUUCAUACUAUGUAUUUUAAGCUAAUUAUUUAUCACUCUUUGGAUUGCUUUCAAAAUUGUACAAUUUAUAAGCUUGAGAACUGUUUGCUACAAUGUUUCUUUCGCUUUCAUGAAGCGUAAGGUUACAUAUAGUUUCAUUUGCCACACGGCAUUCUAAAUGAGUUUUACCAGAUCAUUUUGGCAUCUUUUCUUACCAUAGUCACCUUUUGAAGUUAUUUUAGUCCUUGAUUGGCUGAGGGAGAUAAUUCAUUUUAUGAACACAAUAUGUUUUGUUAUUAAUUGAAUGAAGCUAGUUGCAUAAUUCCUCAUGUAAAUCAACCUAGUCAUGAUCCAUUUGGAGUUUGAUUGAUUCUAUAAAAAUUGGUGGCCUCCUUUUGACUUGAUAGCGAUGCUUUCCUAUAAACCAUUGAAUCAUGAUUCAAGUUACAAAUGUGUAUUCUACCACUAUUAUUUCACACGUGAAGGGUUUGAUUGUAAGGAUGUUUAAUCGAUUUGUAUGUAUUUCUUACUGCAAUACUUUGGUUAGCAAGGCAGAUAUAUUUGUAUAUUGUAAUUAUUUUAUGCACUUGGUAACUUAGAAUUUAGUUAAACAUGAUUAGCUUGCCCUCUAAGAUCAUUUCAUAAUCGUAAAGGACAUAUACAGGCAGGAAGGUAUUGUUUAAUAUUUCAGUUGCUUCAUUGCUAUGGCUUGCUGUAGGUGCAUUUUUAAUAAAACAGAUGACCAUUGUUACUGCAUUUAAUUGGAAGUUUUCCUCUUCAUUAUUGAAUUGUUGACAACUAUGCAAAAAGAUUACUUGGACUUCCUCGUUUCUUUCAUUAAAAAUGUCAUGAAUGCCAAUUUUAAGUUAUUUUUUUUCAUCUGUUUACAGGGUUGAGUUUUGUUGCUAAAUUUUGUACUUACUGUCUACAUGGGGGAAUUCUUUUGCUUUGUGAUAAUUGAUGCAAAAGUUGUUGAUAUUUGGAAUUCAAACUAUGUAUUUUAAGCUAAUCAAUUAUCACUUUUUCAAAAUUUUGUUUUGAUGUACAAUUUAUAAGCUUGAGAAAUGUUUGCUAUAAUGUUUCUUUUGCUAUCAUGAAGCGUAAGGUUGUAUGUAGUUUCAUUUGCCAGUCAGCUUUCUAAGUGAGUUUUAGCAGGUCAUAUUGGCUACUUUUCUUAGUAAUGUCACAUUUUGAAGGUCUUUUAGUUUUUGGUUGGAUGAGGGAGCUAGUUCUUUGUAUGACCACAACAUGGUUGUUGUCAGUUGAAUGAAGUUAGUAUCAUAAUUCCUCAUGUAAAUCAACCUAGUCAUGAUCCAGCACUUUAUUGAUGUUGAGGAGCUGGAGUUUGAUUAGUCGUAUAAACUCAAUGACCUUUUCAUAGAGAAGCUCGUGUAUCAACCAUUAGAAAUGACUAUUCGAUUUACAAAUGUGUAUGCUAUCACUAUUAUUUCAUACAUGAAGGGUUUGAUAGUAAGGAUGUUUAGUCAGUUUGUAUAUGUUUUCUUACUUCCAAGAUCAUUUCAUAAUUGUAAAGGAUCUGUACAUCCAGGAAGGUAUUGUUUGAUAUUUCAGUUGCUUCAUUGCUAUAGCUUACUGUAGAUGUAUUUUUUACAUAAUGUAGAUGAUCAUCGUUACAGCAAUUAAAUGGAAGUUCUCUCCUUCAUUUUAAAUCGUUGACAAUUAUGCAAACAGAUACAUGAAUUUCCUUGUUUCUUUAAUUAAGUGAUGAAAGAUGCCAGUUUUAAGUUCUUUUCUUUUCUUUUAUCUAUUAACGGUACCUCGCUUUUAAAACCAUAUAAAAAUCUUCCAUCAAAAGAUUUAUCUCUGGAGUGUUUAGUGAUGGAUAUAUCUGGAUGGUAGUGUUAAAUGAAAUUUACUGUUCUCUUUUCCUAGUCCAGCCUUACUAGUGCCUGUUGUUAUAAUAAUUUCAAUACCCUUUGAUUGAUCCAAGGUGAUUUGUUUGUACCAGAUAUUAUUAACAUAUAUAACAAUUGUCUCUGGUUAUUUUCUGAUGAAUAUUUGAUAAACAUUUUCUUUGAGGUCUAACUAGAUUAACAGGUAAUGAAAAUCAUCCAUCCUAGAUUGAGAACAAUUUUUUAUAUUUUUCUUGAAACAUUUUUUGGUUAUUCAAUUUCAGUUUCUUUGUGCAAAUAGACAUGUAAAAGCUACUUAUUGGCCUUAUAAACUUAGUACAUAUUCCUUCCCAAGAAAAUUUUAUGUCAUUGCCUUGUAUAGAAUCACUUAUUAGGUUGUUAUUGGACCGACGUUAAUGCUGGCAGCAGUGAACUUUACGGUAAAUAUUGAAGGUUCUAUCGCAAGUUGGACUAAGCCAAAUGUUUCAAUCUAACUAUUGCUUAUAGUCCAUCUUUUUCAAGCGCUUGCCUUCUUCUUCUUAGCCCAUUCUUGGUAUUUGAGAAUUGAGAAUAGUGGAUGCUAAGUCUAAAUGGAAACAGUUUUUCUCAGAGUUUCCGAUCAAACAAUUCUUUUUGUUCCAUAACAGGUUUCUAGGUAAAACAGCAGUCCUCUUUGCAAAUACAUAUUUCACACUGCUGUUUUGGUGUAUUUUAUUUUAUUUCUAUGGUAUUGAUGUGAAGGUGAUGCAGCUCAUUUGUCGUAGCUCCGACUGGUUUGUCCUUUUCUUAGUAAAUGGGGUUGAUCAUCCUUUUAGUCUUGCUGCAAUUGCCGUAUAUAUUUGAGAAGAGAUAUUCGGUGUGCCCAAAGAUAAGUAUACUUGUCCACCCCAAUUCCAGAGAAACAUUAUUAUCAAUAUCCAUCUUAAUGGAAUGUAGCUUUUGCUUCUUCUAAUUCAAUCCCUUCAUCCGUAAGUCUCUUGUCCUUGUACACAUACCACCUAGCAAACACCAAGUAAAUUACCAAGUUCAAACAACUCAGGAUUGCCAAAAGCCAGUAGAAGUCAUAGAGCCUCCCUUGGUUCAGAUUGUCUGGCAGCCAUGGAUGCUUGGUUCCAGUCACCUUGUGAACUAUAGUAACCAGCACAGAACUAACGAAAAACCCUAAUGAAAGGGUACUUAAAAACAAACCAGUGCUCAUUGUUUUCAUCCCUUUCGGACAUUCCCUCAAGAAAAAAUCGAGCUACCCUAUGUAUGUAAAGGCCUCCCCAGCCCCGACCAGAAAAACUGGGGGAUCAGCCAGAACACGCUCAUUGGGAUUUGAGCUGAUGGAUCAUUUGUAAGUCCAUGUGAGCUUGCGGACCUCAAUCGCUUGAUUUCCGUCAGUGCAGCUACUAUCAUUGCUAUAAUGGAUAAUAUUAAACCCACCCCGAUCCUCUGCAAAGGAGUUAACCCUUGUGGGUUUUUAAGCACUUUCCUUGCAAUCGGAGCAAUGAUUUUGUCAUAAAUUGGGACAGUCAAAGGAAUGCUGCCGACGAAGAAAACUGUGAGUGACGCUGGUGGGAUCUAGAAUAUGCCAAUGUGACGGUCCAUGGUCAUAGCUUGAGACACGGAAAAGGUUGUCAUUUGGGCAUAGACGGUCCAAAAUAUGAUAGUGGUUGCCCGAAUGGGUAACAUCCUUACCACCAAUUUCACUUCUUCAACAUCUGUUAAGGUAGCUAAGUCACUUUCAUUCGGAUUUUGUGUUUGUAACUUUGUAAUAUAUAUAUAAGUCCUUCGGUUGACUUCAAAAUAAGGUUGAAGCCCUCUUUACAUGUACAUACAGAAUAUGGUAAAGAAACAAGAAUAAUUUCAAGCAAAGAAAGUUAAGUUCUUUGCUUUUGCUUCAAAAUUAUUAAGUAGUAUUGUGACUGGUACUUGUUUUUUUUUGAAGGAAUUAUCUGGGUUUGAUCGAUUUGGGGAACUAAUAUUUGAUGCCCAAUACUGGAAACCCAUCUUUGAAAUGUGAUCCCCCUAAGAAUUAAUCAAUCCUUGGUGUGAUGUUAAAUAUAAUAGGACCACACAAGCUUCUUUAAAAUUGUGAAUAUGUUUAUUAUAUGUACAGAAUCAAAGAAGUUUGGCUUGCAACGAGGUUAGAAACAUGUUUUUGUAAUAGAUGGGUAGCAUGCCAAGAAUGACCUUUCGUUCAUCCGAGAAGUGAAGAAAAAUGAAUAUUCUUUUGUUUGAGGAUCAACUAAAAAACUGUUCAACCUUUCAAUUAUUGUUUUAUAUAUAUACAUCCAUGCACCUUGCAGGAUUCUAUGUCAAUAGGCAGAAUAUAACAGCACAAAAAUCCAUAGCAGGGUCUCUUAAAUUUUAGGAUCGAAACUCAGGGAAAAAAAAUGCAUAUCAUAUAAAAAAUAUAGCACAAUAACAAUGGAUGCUGCUUGCAUUUGAAGCAAUCACGUGAAGAUAAUCCUUUGCUCUACAAUUUGUAAGCCAAUCUGUUCCCUUGUCGGCCAGUUGGACAAACAUGGGAUCCCAUCGAUACCGCUCCCUAGCUUGGGGCGCAAUUAAAAACAUUUUUUAAUUAAUCAAAGGACCCCAGAUGCUCAAACAUAUCACGUUACAGAUAAGACAAGCCCAGAAUCUCUUUUUCUUUUGUGGAACCCAUAAUAAUUUAGAGCUACAGUAUUGUUUGUAUUUUGGAUAAUUACAUCAUCAUCAUCAUAUUUAAGGUAUUUAAUGAAUUCCGUUAAGUUAAUAAUUCAUAUUAUAACUUGUGCAUUGUGUGUCGUUGUUCAUGCCAUAUUUUGUUAAAUGUGUAUUAUGUCUUUCUUACCAUAUUCCUGCAAUAUCGACGAGAUUAAGCAAUGAAGGGUUCAACAUAUAUUCAUCUUGAUAAAUAAAGCGAAUUCCUUUUGAUUGUGAAGUGGAUAACCAUGAAGCAUGAAGGAUAAACAUGACAUGUGCCUAGUUUCAGGGUAGUAUGUCAGUUUCGACAUCCAUAUCGUGAGGAAAUGGACAAGUUAUUGACUGAGAUGCUAUUUCCCCACAAUGUUCGUAUCAGAGAUGUAAAUAAAAAACCUCAUCGGUUUGAUGUCACAGUCGAAUUCAAUAAUAGCAUUAUGUGGCUUGAAUUAUAUAGCUACAAGUGGUUGAUAUAAAAUUUAAGCAACCAAAGAAAUAUACCUGUUAUUAAAGCCUUUUACAACACUAGUUGAAAUGUCGAACUAUACACAAUACCAAGCAACGAAACAAAAAUUAGCCAAUAAUAAAUAAAAGGUUAUCCUAAUGUGUUUUUAUAAUUAUGACCCAUAUAUCAAAGGCAAUUAAAGAAUGUCCACAAGUGUCAAAAAAGAUAUGGUUACUAUUAAUAGAGCGUUCAGCAAGGUGAACAGACUUAACUGGGGAUGGUGAAGGUGUAAAGUGAUGAUUUGAAUACAAGAUUUCGUGAGGAUCGAUCGGGAGACAGUCUGGUUUGGUGGCUCGUGAUCUCUUUUUCUAUUCCUUACUGAAUAAUAUUACCUCUAACUCAUACAUUAAAGUCUCAAUCCCCAUGUUUUUUAAUCAUUUCAUCAUUAAACACCCCUAAAUUUCACAAUCCAGAUUAAACCAAAUAUCUUAUAAAAUGAAAAAAAGAGAGGAAAUUCAAUCAUUUACACUUUGAUUGCCUUAAACACCCCCAAAUGGUUGAUGAUUAUCUAUCAGGUACUGGUCCGCCACCUAACCUUAUAUUGCCGACUUUUAAGAUUGCACGUGUUCCUAAUUAACUAUACUAGUUUGAAUCUCGAUUGUAUUCUAUUAUUUAGAUUAGUGGGAAUCAACAUAAAAAUUUUGUGGUCCAAUUUCUUGUAUCCUUGUUUUAUUAGCCUAGAUCAAGAUUUCACUUUUGAUUCAAUACAAAAUUUUAGAAGGUAAUGAAAUUCAUCAACUUCUCUUAACUUUACGUAUUAAGAUUAGUCAAGUUAACGUGUUCUUCAUAUUACUUUUUAUGAAAAUAUUUGUAUGAAGCAGCAAAAAUAACAUGUUUAGCAUGUCUUAAUUAUUUGUCCUCUAUUGUUCGUGUUUAGAAAUGAAAUAAAACUAAAGAUUGGUUUUCAAAAAGAAUACUAAUCAGAACUGCUUGCUGUGAGGCAACUUUUGCUUAUUCUUCUUGUUAUUCAGUCCCUCAGUUGUAUCAUUAAUUUCGAAAAGCAGCGAUGAAUCAGAUGGCAACUCCAAAUGCUCUUCUUCCACGCAGCUACAAACACUGCGACAAUUUGGGUUAAUGGGCUCCCAACCAAUUUCUUGAAACGGUAGCGCUUGGUACCCGAUAGAAACACCACCAACCCUAUCACGAUUGCACAAGCACAAAUAUCGUAACCCCAUUCACGUCCUAGAUUGUCUUGGAUGUACACCAGUACGGUGACUGAACCAAGUGAGCUCUGACUUGAAAUUUCUUAAGUAUCAAAGGGGUACACGGCCUCGGCACACGCCCAUGUGGCUAGGACGUGUGGUAAACUGAUUUUUCACCAUUUUUAAGCCAUUUUCACACGAUUUUAACACAUGACCGUGCUUAAAACCCGUGUCCUUCACACUACCAAAACACACGGCCAUGUCUUUUGCCUGUGUACUAACCUGACUUCAUAUUUAAGGAUGCAGGGGUCACACGGUCUAUCAACAUACCCGUGUGCAAGUCGUGUGUCUCACACGGUCUGAUCACACGCUCGUGUGACAAGCCGUGUGGACUCAAAAUGAACCUUAUAGUUCAAGUUUACCAACCCUACAAACCUUGAAUAAUAAGCAAUUUAAAUACAAUCUUCAACCAGUCCAAAACAUGAUUAAACAUAUCUAAUACACAUUAAAACCAUCAAAACAACAAUUAUUAUAUGUAUUUUAUUAACCAUUCAACAAAGAAACUUCAAAAUUUGUAUUUAAAUUCCAUUUAAAUCAAUUUAAAAUGGACUAUAUUAUAACACAUACAUUACAUUUGUUAACUAUCCAUUAACAUUCUUUACUAACAUUACUUAUAUUCAAAAUAACAUCAAAGAUAACCUAGGUACAUGCCAUUCCUCAAGAUAAGAUACAUCACCAAGUAUUUGAGUUCGGGAGUUGGCUUGGAUGCUGAGAUGUUAUUUACUUUGUACCUAACCUGCACAAGGAAACAAACCGUGCGCUGAGUAUACAUUCAGUGGUAUUUUUAUAAACCAGUACUUAAUAUGUAAUUUAAACAUAACUGUAAAUUCUAACAAUAAGAACUUCGUAAAAUUUUCAUUCAACUAUCCUUAUAUCAUUGUAACAUGUAUCAAUAAAAUCAUAUUCAGUAAGAAAAUAUAGUUUCAAUCAGCAUCUUUCAAUAUUCAGUACAGUAGUUUACCCCUAUUAACAUAACUCGGAUCUGAACGGAUAUACGGAUCCAACCCACACACCGAGAUAUUAUAUAGUGUUUCAUCGGUCGAAGCCGGAAUACACCGUAACAGUAACAAUAACAAUAAUAGUAAUAGUAACAGUAACGGUACACAGAGUACCUCAUCGGAACAAGUCUGAAACAGUAACAGUAACAGUAACAGUAAGGCGACACUUAUAGUGUCUUAUCGACACAAAGUUGAAAUAUCCUGAACACUUCCAAUCCUAUGGCAUGCCAAUUAUACCCGACUAGCCCGACACUGUUAAUAGGGUUUCCAUUUCACUUUCAAUUUUUUUUAUAUAACAGUUAUUGCAUUUCAAAAAUAACAAUACUUACCUUUUAUAUAUUUGCUAUACAUAAUAAAGUAAUACAUACAACACUUAAUUUAAAAGCUUAGUUUAUAGAAAUACAAACCGUUGUUCUCGAGUUUAUUCGUUAUAUUCGUUCACUUUCUUUUUUCCCUUCUUCGAUGACGUUUUCGGUGCUACGUUAGCUACCGAAAAAUUAACAUUUAAAAUCAUCAAUACAUAUCAUUUAAUAACACACUCUUCUAUUUUCCAUGUAACUUUUACAUAAAUUUCAUUUUAGUCCUUCCACCAUAACCAUUAUUUCUCUUCAACUAAAUCUCAUAUUUUCAUUUAAUACCUAUUUUAAACAAGUUUCAACUCUUAAUAUUCAAUAUAAAACAUCAAUUCUACAAUUUAAACAAUUUAGUCCCUACUAUAACAAAACUUAUAUCUCUCUUUACAAUUCAAUCAUUCUCUCACUUCUAACUUGAAUUUCUAUCACUUUAUCUCAUAAUUCAUUCAAUUGUUCAACUUGAUCAACAUCUAAAAAUUCACUAACUUUCUAAAUUUCAACAUAAUUCAAGUAAGACUUUAUUCCAAGAUUCCAAAAACAUCAAAAUUACAAAAAAAGAGACUAAAUUGACUCACCAAUUAAGCUUCAAACCUCAAAACCCUAUUUUUCCUUACUUUUUCUUUCCUUUCUGUUUCCUUUUCAUUCUCUGUUCUUUCUUUUUCUAUUUUAUUUCUUUUAUGCUUUAUUACAUUAUUAAAUUGUUAUAAUAAUAUAUUAUAUAUAUUAAAUAUCUCAUACUUAAAAUAUAAGUAAAUACAUAUGUAAUUUACAUUUGUAUAAAUACAAUUAUUACAAAUGAAUUAAUUUAUGCCACACAUUUGUCCCCUUUUUAGUUUAUUUACUAAUUUAGUCCAUUCACUUUUCUUUAUUCUAUAAUUAAACUUUUACCCUAUAUUCAAUCUAGUCUUUUCACUAAAUUAGCCUUAAUUCAAGCUAAUUCACUUAGCCAAAAAUCUAAUUAAUCACACUACUUACUUCGUAAAUAUUUCUAAUAAAUAUUUACGAAUUCAUCUUAUAAAAAUGGUAACCCGAAAAUAUACUUUUUCGAUACUCAUAAACUUUGGGUCGUUACACCUUAGGCUUGGGAUUAUGGUUAAGAUGGUCAAUAUGGUGACGUCCUGCUCGAUAAAGUAAUUAAAGAUUAAUGAACUUUUAGCUUUUCAUUUAAGGUGGGAAGUUAAACACGAAAGUAGCAGGUUAAAGAAAAUGAGAAAAUAAUUAAUCUUCAGGUCAGGGGAAAUGAAUCUUACAAUUGCUUGAACGGUGGCGAAGAUUGCGAUGGUGAGAUAUCUGUGAAUAGGAGAGAAUUCAUGGUUAACUGAGAGUGGUGCAUGUGAAAGUAGAAAAGGUGGCUGUGAGUGUUAGGGGUAGAGAAGAGGCCAAACCUGCCAAGAAAAGUGUCUGCGAUGAAACCACCCAGCAGACACAGCAUGAAAGAGGUGCCGAGGAAGUUGGUCACUAUGUUGGUUGCGGUAGCAUUCCCAAAAUGCAUGGUCUCAGUUAAAUACGUCACUAGAUUAAUAGCGAUACCUAACGUUGUUAGCCUCUCACAUGCCUCGCCACCUGACAGAGAUAUACGCAGGCAAAAGAAAACCCCAUCCGCUUAGCUAACUCAAAACCAAACGCCUACGAGAAUUUAAAAAGAAAAAAGUAAAAGCAAAAACUCAAGCAUUCAAAUGGAGGAGGUGCGGGAUGAAAGACUUAAAAUCAUAGCUGUAUUGGUUCAGCCAUCGGACUUGGACCACUCGGUCUGCUUGCCUUGUAGCCCCAGGCAUUAGAGAGGAUUUUCCCUUGUGUUACAGGGAGGGACAUUGUUCGAUACAAGGUGAGACAAGGGUUACAGAAAGCUAGCUAACUUUGAAUUUGAUAGAAAGGAGUUGUAAUGGGAGCAAUGGUUGGUGAGGGGUUAUUUAUAGAAAGGGGAAUGAAGGAUGCUUGGGUGGUAGCACAGUCAUGUUGAGGCCAACGUGUGAGAUAAAAGGUCUAAUUUGAAGGAAAUGACACUUUUGGCCUAGAUUGAUUGGCUAUGCUAUUAUUUAACUAAUUGUUGGACACAAAUGAUUGAUACAUGUACUCCAAAGUUGAAAUUUUUGAAACGUGGUUAGGAAUGAAAGGUCGAUUCCGGAAAAAAAUUAAUCCUUUAAUUUUAUAAUGUAAAAUUAAAUAUUUGAACCCAUCGGAUUUGGGCCUGAAAAUAAUUUAUAAAACCUUUUUAUUUUCGAAUAAAGUGAAAUUAAUGAAUUUAUAAAAUAUAGAAAAUAUGCCUCCUGAUAAAAAAAAUAUAAGUGUGACAGGCGUCUUUUUCUGUUUUCGUAUUUAAGAGGUCUUCAUUCAUUGUUUAUGUUCUCAUGGUCAAAUGAAAUUUAUUUAUUUUUAUAUAAGAUUUCAAGAAAAUAUAAAUAUAAUUACUUAACAUAUUAUUAAAAAAUGAUAAACCCAUAACAAUUUUGAUGACGAUUUAAAAUUAAAAAAAAAACACACACACAAAUGAUCAUGCGCUAUUUAUGUGAAUAAAUUAAUUCUGUACUUUCCCCAAUCAAAAUUAAUUUAACCAUUUCAUACAAUUAAUUUUAAAUAUAUAUUAAAUUGAUUGGAACAACGAUAUUUAUAUUUCAAUUUUUCGUUAUUUUCUACAGUCAAAUAUGUUGCUCCUUUAUAAUUUCAAUCUUGUAGGGUAAAGAUAGUUUAAGUUUAUCCCAUAAAAGAGACUAAAUUACCUAAAAAGACCUUUUUUCAUGUAUAUUUACGGAAAUGUGCCAAUUACAUCAUUAUUUACACUAAAGGGCCGAUUUUUACAAAAUACGCUUACGUGGCAGUGUUUUAGGGGGAAAAAGCCAGAAAAUCUCUCCAUUGAGGAAGCGUUUUUUUUUUGCUUUUUUAAAUUUCAACGGGAAAUUUUUUUUUACCGUUGGGGGGGUUCCAACAGUAAAAAAAGAGAGUAUAAACCUCUCGACUCUUAUUAUUUCACACAUAAAUUCUUAACAAUUUAGCAAAAAAUCUUCACAAUUUCUCUUUAAAGCUCUCAAAUUUCUCAUUAAAUUUAGAAAAAACUCUUUAUAAUUAGUUAUUUACUUUAAUUUUUUUUUCUAAAUUAGUUUUUUUUUUAUAAUUUCAAAAAUAUCUGAUCGUGUUAGCAAUGGUUGGGGAAUUAAUUCGUCUCGAUUAUAAACAUAUCUCUGUCGAACAAAUGAAAAUUGUAACAGUUUGUUUUAAAUUUUGAAUUUUUUUAAUUUUUUUUUCAUUUACGUAAUUUUAAUUAAUUUUAAAUUUUAAAUAUUAUUUAAUAUUUUUUUCAUUUACGUAAUUUUAAUUAAUUUGUAAUUUAUAAUUUUUUAUAACAGUCUGUAGAUCGGGUGUUACAAUACUAUAUUCAUAACAUGUUUGAUCUGCCAUCACCGUUGAUAGAAAAUUACUUGAGAGAAGCAAGUUUUUGGCACGCGGCCACUAUAGGCCGGGGGUGCAAGUUGAACUCGAAACUCAUCAGUGCUUUAAUAGAGACGUGGAGACCGGGGACGCACAUAUUCUAUCUUCUAUGAGGAGAGUGUACUAUCACUUUGGAAGACGUCCAGUUACAAUUAGGAUUGCCGGUGGAUGGGGCUGCACUCACCAUGUCCUUUCAAUCUGCUGAUUGGGGAGCCAUAUGCAACAAUCUUUUGGGUGCGAUUUCGGAUAAUAUUUACAGAGGUCAAAUCGAGAUUAGCUGGUUAUAAGACAAAUUUCUAGGGCCGGAGAAUGAUUCGACUGAACUAGAAAGAAUACGAUAUGCUCGGUCAUACAUCCUUGAGAUGAUUGGAGGUUAUUUGAUGCCAGACUUGUCACAAAACCUCGUACAUCUGAGGUGGCUGCUGAAACUCAUUGAUUUUAAAGCAACUGGCGAACUUAGUUGGGGGUUUGUCGUGUUGGUAAUAUUGUACCAGGGAGAUUUGUGGGGCGACGCCACUAAAUAAAGCCAAAAUUGGAGGUUUCCUAUCACUACUAAAAUCAUGGGCUCGGUUUUGCUUUUCAUUUUUAUGUCCUUGAGUGAACCACUCAUAUACAUUCUCACUCAUAACAAGGUAAAAUUUUUAUUUGAUUUUAUAAUUAUUCCAUAUAUUUAAAAUAAAAUUAUAUGCUGAAAAUUUAUUUAAUUAGGUGGAACCAUCCGGCAAGUUAUGUUGGAAUACCUACUGCUUUUAAAGAUAUACGACUUCUAUUAGACCAACGGUCGGAAGCGCAAGUAAGUAUUAAAAAAUAUAUAAAAAAUAGUCGUUUCAUAUUUAAUAUUUAGGAUUUAGUAUUAUGUAUAUAACUAAUAUUUUUAUCCUGAUUAUAUAGUUUCAAUGGACACCAUACGAGGAUCCGGUAAUCCGGACAGUAAUUUUGAAAGAAUUCUUUCAAAAUCCGAACAUUUGGCAUGUUAAGGUCUCAUUGGUAAACUAUUCUAUUGUCGAGAUACACCAGAGAAAGCUGAGGAACCUGAGGUGCUCGAUAAGUAGCACAAAAUCUAAUUACGACAUAUCUCAUUUAUUGAUUUUUUUAAAUAUAUUACUUUUUAAAAAAUAUAUAUUUGUAUAAUUGUUUCUAUAUUGUUUCAUUUAAUAAAAAAUAGUUACUUUUUAUAUUUUAAUAGUAAAUUAAUUUUAUAAUUUUAAUAAAAUAUAAGUUCUUUUGAAUAAGGCGAAAUAAAAAUGAUGCAACAUCGUUUUAUUACAGCAAUUAUCAACUAUUUCGGUUUGAAAAUGAUCAAAUUGUAUGACCUGGGUUCCUACACCAUCCACACAACUUCUGUUGGUUCGUUUUUCCUGGAUAUCCAUAUUAUUAUGUAUUCUACUCGAGUAAGGUUUACCUUUUGGUUUGCGACGUAAUUCUCUAUCCGGUAACAGCUUAAACGGAGUAAGUGAUAUAGAUGACCACUUACGUUCAUCUGGGACCGAUGGGAAUACGUGUCUCCACACAUUGUACAUGUUUUCUACUUUGUACACUUCGUCGGCAUAUCUCAUGGGAUCCAAACGGAGAUUCUAACAAACUGCAAUUGCAUAAGCGUAUGGAUCACGAAGUGCGUCAAACGUCCCACAGUCGCAAGUCUUAUUUAUUAGGUGUACACGACAUUCCUCGUCGGUAAUACAUUGAGUUAGUCUGUCAAACUCCAUUUCACGAAAUCAUAGGUUGUCACAAUCGUGACACAUAGUGUGCAUCCUAUUGGCUCGCGCCUUCGUCUUUUUAAUUUCUUACAAUACCUUCCAUAACCAUAUAUGGCCUCCCUGCAUUUGGCCUUUAUAACUCACUACUCGUUUUGGAAAUAGUGUCGUCAAAAGAAAAUAUGUCUCUCGCACAACUGAGGUUAUCGGCAAAUGACGCGUUCCUUUUAGAACAGAAUUUAUGCAUUCAGCCAGGUUUGCGGUCAUAGCCAAAUUUUUCAAUGGUGUCGCAAACAGUGAUUCGAGAUCACUAAAUCCGAUGAGUAAGUUUAGAAAUUUUAACAAAUAAUAAUUAUAGGCCAAGCGCGAACUUAAAAGAAUUAUUUUUAAUUAGUGAAUUUUGCGAUUUUAAAAUAAUUAAUCAGGUAAAUUGGGUUGAAAACUAGGUAUCGAGACCUUGGAUUCAUAAACCAAGCCAUAAAUAUUUUUAUAAAUAUUUAUGGAGUGUUAUUAAGUUAGUAUUAAAGUUUCGUUAGAAAAUUUUAACGUUUGGUUAGUCAAUUCAUUAAAAAGGACUAAAUUGAAAAUAGUGUGAAAUUUAUUAAAUUGUGAUUAAACAGUUUAAGUGAUUAAAAGGAGGGAUUUAAAAGGAAAUUGGACCCAAAUUGUAUGGGCUGGACGGUUGGGCAACAAAAUCAGCAAAAAAGACAAGGAGAAACAAGGGCAAAAUGGGAAAUUUUACAAAUUAAACAUAUAAAACAAGACAAAUUUGAAAAAUCUAGAGAUAUCGUCAUUUUUCUUCAGCAAAAACGCCAUGGGAAGUCUGAAAGCUGCUGGUUUUUCAUACUUUGACAUCUGUGAGUUCAAUUCUUGCCCUUUUAUUUGAGAUUUUUAUGUUUUUGUGACUUUUACAAUUAUGUCCAAGUGUUUAAUUCAUUAGUUUUUGAUUUUAUGAACAAAAUUAAAAGCUAUCAAUGAUAAGUGUUGGCUGUUUAUGAUGAAAUAAAAUGAAUUUGAGGCUUUUAUUUUGUUGUUUGAUAAUUUUAUCAAGUAAUUUCAAUAGAAAUUGAUUUUAUGACCUAAUUUGUGAAAAAGUUGUGAAUUAAGGUUUAGUGUUAAAAUUAUGAUUUUCAAAGGUUGUGUAAUAGUUUAGAAUGAUGGAAUAAAAUGUUAAUUGAGAAAAAUUAGCUUAAUAGAUGGGCUAAUUGAGCAAGGACUGAAUUGUAUGACCUGUGAAAUUUAGAGGAAAAAUGGUAAUAAACAUCUUGAACUAAAACAGCUUUGGACAGCAGCAGUAGGUUAACUUUGAAAAAUCACCAUAAAUUUUAAAAAUCGAAUUAGAGGAUGAAUAAUAUAUGAAAUUAAAGCUUAUUGAGUCUAGUUUCUCAUAGAAGAAACAGUGUAAGCAAUUGGAUUGUAAAUUAUGAGAUAUAAUGAAUUUUGUGAGACAAGGUUAGAAUGAAUUUGGGUUCCUCCGUUUUGACUUUGAAAAAUCACAAAAAAUUGGAGAAAAUUAAUUAGAGGAUAAAAUUUAUAUGCUUGGAAUCCUUAAUGAGUCUAUUUUCAAUAGAAAUCAACAACAACAUUAUCCGAGUUCUGUACUAUGAUAUAAUUAAUUUUUAGUGAAGAGAGGUCAGAACUGUUGGAUAGUGAAAUAGGGGAAACUUAAAUGAAUAAAUUGUACUAGUUGGAUAAACCAAAAAUUUUGAAAAUUUUAUGGUGGAAUGAUAUGUGAGUCUAGUUUCAGGAAAAAUUUACGGAUCUUAAUUUGGAGCUCUGUAGCUCGAAUUAUAAAUAAUUGAGUGACUAUGACUCGUGUGAACAGUUUGAUGUGAGCAUUAAUAAGUAAAUUGUGAAAUCGUACUUACAAGAAUGUUAUAUACAUUAAGGAUGUGGAAUGGAGAGGAGGAGGAGGAAAAUAAAUGAUAUAUGUUUAUAAGAAAACAGUAUGAGAACGAUACAUAUCAUGACAUGUAUAUAUAUGACUAGUUUCAAUAUGAUGCUUGUUGGGUAUGAAGUUGGAUUGAAAUGUCUAAGGCAAGUAUUUUAUUCUGCGCAUCUGAAAUGUGGUAUUUUAUAAAGAUAUGAUCUAGCUUUAAAUAUGAAUGCUUGAUGAUUAAGCGAAAAAUUUUAUGAGAAAUCAGUUGAGUUCUGACUUGAUUUUAAUGUUCAUUUUGGGCUUCAAGGGCCCAAAUAAAGGUUGUUAUAUAUAUGAUCUCAGAAAGUGAAUAGUAAUGUUUCGAUUUAUCUGUAAAUGUUCUGUAUGUACUAGUAACACUCUGUAACCCUGUUUCAGCGACGGAUACGGGUUAGGGGUGUUACAGUGUAUGCUUGUGUUAACUGUUUGAAGGGUAUGUUGUAGAGGUAAUCUGCGCCUUGAUCGUUAACUGAACGCAAAAUCCUCAACAUCUCAUGGAAACGGUCCUUAUUGAUCUCAUACCCUGCCAAUAUAAGUUGAUAGCGAAAAUUACAUACCAAUAUUUCAUUUAGAAAAAAUUUAAUUUUACAACCAAAAGUAGAUUAAUAGAGAUUAAAUACCCAUGUUAGUCAGUUUCUUUCGUUCAGUCGUAGACCGAUUUGCCUGUAGUAGUUAGACGCAACGUGCCUUAGACAAUACCGAUGGUGUAUGCGAUCCCAUAGGCUUCCAUGUUGUUCAAUUGCAGUUCGUAUUCUAGUGUCCCGAUCCGAUAUAACACAGAUAUCAGUUAAUGGCAUACAUGCCACCUUAACCUAGAAAGAAAGAAAUCUCAGUCAUUAGCUGACUCCUCCGGUGUUAUUGCAAAUGCAAUUGGAAGGAUUCUCCCACCGUCAUCCUGUGCUAGAGCUAGCAUUAGCCGAUGGGUAUAUCUACCAUACAUAAAUGUACCGUCAAUUUGUACCAAUGAAUUGCAGUACACAAAUGCGUCUCGACAUAGCUUAAAGCUCCAGAACAGACGUUUAAACACUUGGCAUCUAUGGAGCAAUCGGUCGUUAUAGUACGCAUGGACCGAUUCAAGGUCUGAUAUGCAACUUGGGACGUACCUCUCCAGCAUCUAACACUACUAGCAAACUUCAUUAUAUGAAGCGUCCCACCCACUAUGCAUCUAUUCCAACGCCUUUUACUUAGCUAUCCAAGCCUUGCGGUAAGAGGGCGUGUACCUCAUUCGGCUAUGAAUACUGGCAAUUAUGCAUGACAAAGAAGUCCUUGGAUCCGCCUUCAAAAUCGGUAAUAUUAAGCUAGCUAUCACGCUUAAAUCCAUCUUGGGAUGAUCUUGUUAAACACCUGUCAACGAAGUACGUUAAAUAAUGCAACAUUAAUUAAUAGCAGUAUUAUUCAAAACCCUAAACACGCAGUGAUACUGUAUCAACAACACAAGUAUGUGGACCUUUGUACUUUUUUAUCUCCCAGAAACCUGUCUUUUGGUUAACGGUUCAAAUUUCAUUUGCUAUGAACACCAUCCAAUUCCCAUGGCCAUACCAGCUGCUGGGAAAUUUUUAAUAAAUAAAAAUGAAAAAGAAAGCUUCCUUCCUUUAUACGAAUUGAAGGUCAAAAUCUAUUUCUACUUUUUCCCUAGCCACCUAGCUAGUGCCCAUGGGUUCACUGUAUUUCUUACAUGCAUGAUAAGGACUCAUGUCUGCUUUUAUACGAAAAGAGUGGUUAUCAGAGUCGUUAUCCCAAUCUCCCAAUACCCUGGAGUUUCUCGCCAAUGCAUCAUUACACUUUUCCAUAUUUCAUUACUAUGCUUGAAAAUAUAUGAAACACUACAAUUAUCAAGAAAUAUGUAAAUCAUGUAUAGUUCAUGUUACUCGGUACUUUUUAAGUCUUUUUACAUAUGCAAAUAUUCAUUAUUUAGGUAAAACAAAGAUAUUUAGGCACAUCAUAUAUAACUUGUUGUUGGCCAGGAGAUACGAUAACAUGGAUAACCCUUUUUUUUUCCUCGACUUUAUUUUACAUAUGCACAUAUUCAUAAUUUAGCUACACAUCACUAUACUUCCUAACUAUGGAUUCCUCAACUCAUACAGCAUAGGAAUAAUAACAACGUAAGAAAUGCACUAACAGUGUGCCAAUAUUAAUGCGAAAAUAGCACAAGCUAAAAAUGGUAGGUUCCGUUGGAAAGGAAACUGACGACCCAGGCCAGCAACGAGUAAAUUAAGAACAUCUCCACAAAAGGAGCUUUUAGUUGAAAUAUGUGUCCAAUUGUUUUUAAUUGCUUAAUGGCUAAUGCUAUCCUUAAUCUAAUGCUGACUAAGGUGAUAUCUAUAAAAAUACACAUAUAAUUAGUAUAUUAUAGUUAUUUAUUAAAUUCAACUAAAAAUAAUAGAUUAAAUAAGAAUAAAAUUCUUCAAUUGAUAAUUAUAUAAUCUUUUAAAGUGUUGCUUAUGAACACCCUUAAAUCAAACUUUUAUUUUGUUUUAUGGGAAUUAAUCACAUUUGGUUUAAUUGAAAGUUGGAAGGCGACUUAUAAUUAUAUCUUGCCACGAAGAGUUACUGACAAGAACUGCCCAUCUGAGAAGUACAGUUGGAACCAAACUGAUAGAGCCAGACCAUUCAACUAAUUCAAAAUAAAAACCAAUAAAAAAAAUUAAAUUUAGGAAAAGUUUCAAAUGAAACAAAACUUAAGCAUCAUUUUAUGACCACUAAUUUUGAAAACCUAAACUCUUAUCAUAUAUGACGAUAAAGCCAAAACCUAAAAAAUUUUAAAAUUUUACUGUAAAAAAAAAACAAAAAUAUUGAAUUUAAUGCUUUGGACCAGGGUGGGCUUGUAAAUCAAUAAGAAUUUUUUUAAAAAUCGGAUGAGUGAUUGAACCGAUUAAGUCAUCAGUUCAUUGGUUCAAUUAAUUAAAUCAAUUCAAUUAAAAAUAAAUAAUGUAACUUUUGGCUCUUAAAUUUGACAACUAGGUUCAGUUGAUACUUGUAUUUUUUUGUUGUUGUUUACUUUAGCACUUGAACUUGACAAUUACGUUUAUUUUGAUCCAUGAACUUAAAAAAUCUAAUACUUUAAUGAUACGACACUCUGAGUUUAAUUUAAAAAAAAUUAGAUGAUGCAGUAUAAUCUGAGAGUGUUAUAUUCAGUAUUUUAAUAAUUUUACUGAAUAUGAAACUCUGGGAUUCUACCACAUCAUCAUCUAAAUUUUUUUUAAAUUUUCAAACUCAGUGUGUCAUAUUAUCAAAGUUUUAGAUUUUCCAAGUUUAGGGAUCAAAAUGGACUUAAUUUUCAAGUUCAAGAGCUAAAAUGAACCAAAAAAAGAGUAGACGUAUCAAAGUGAACCUAGUUGUCAACUUCAGGGGCCAACGUGGACAUACUUGCUAAGUUCAAUGGCUAAAAGUUAUAUUAUCCCCAUUGUUUAUUAACACAAUGGGCUUAAAUGGAUAACAAAUUUUAAGUACAAGGUUCAAAAUGGAUAAAAAAAAAAGUUCAAAAGCUAAUGUGCACCUACUUCCCAUUAAAAUAAUUAUUAAAAAUAAUUAAAUAAUAAAUUAAAAAAUCCGGCUCAACCGCCCGAUUCAAGCAAUUUUUUUUAUUCAACCGUUUUAUACCGAUUCUAGAAUCAAUCGAUUCAAAACUCCUCUUCAAACUGAUACUUUGACCAAUUCUCAAAUUAACUAAUUCGACCAACCAAUCUAAUAUGGUUUAAAUAACCCUACAAAAUAUAUUUUAAAAAAUUAAUUCAAGCGUUUUUUCUAAAUUUUUAUUUAUUUAUUCUAUACUGAAUAUUUUACAAGUUGAAAACAAUUAUUGAUAAUUUAUCAUAUUACAGUAAUUGAAGAAUGAAAUUAGUUAAUUUCAAUUCAACUCAUCGGAUUUUAAUAAUAUUGAAAAAAAAUGAUGCUGAUAAGAAGAGUCAAUGUUAGGAAAUGAAGCUAUAAGAAGAAGAGUAUUGCUUAUAGGUUGUUACUAGAAGGACCUUGUUAUAAUUUCAUUUAUUGAAUUGAUAUUACUCUCACAUUAAAUUAAAUGACAGAAUAUCUUUAUGAACCUGUAUUUUUAUUUUUUAAUAUUUAAGAGUGUUUUUUGGAAUCUUGAAAGGGCAUAUUUGUAGUUGUUGGUAAUGAAAGAACCUACCCCUCCCUACCAUUGGAACACGUGACACGUCUGAUUCCAAAGAUUCUACGUGGGCUCUUAUGGGGUGGAUUCUCCACCACUCAUUGAGCCCUAGGGUUGACUAUCCAUUAUUUUUUAAACCCCCAUCGACCAAAAAAUUUUUAGUCAAUAUUAAAGACUUCAUUGGUCGGUUUCACGGUGGCGGCCUUUGCCAAAUAGGUGCUCUUUUUUUUUUUAAUUAUCACCCUUGUAUACAUAUAUUUUACUUCAAUGGUAAAAUGUGUAUUUACUAGUGGAUAAUUAAAACCAACAUGAAAGAAUUUUUAAAAAUAUUGAUAAAACCUUCUCUUCAUGGAUUAUAAACUAUUUUAUAAUGUUAUUUUUAUCAAGAAAAGUCAACCAAAAUAUAAUCAUGAACCAUUAAGGUGAUUAAUGCAGCCAUAUAUUUCAGAAAUUAAAGGCAUAUAUAUCCACCGAUAACUACAAAUGACAUUCAAUAGCUUUAUAGUUUAUACCAUAUAAUUAAUUUCAUUCGUUAAUUCAUAUUAAUUUUUAUAAGCAAAUGAAUAGCUUCACGUUGUCAACCCAAGAAAGGAAAGAAAAGGUCACAAAUGGAUAACAAUUAUGGUACAAUGUAUUAAAUGUUUGUAUUAUUAAGGAUGGUGUGUAGAUUAGAAUAAAGAAUACAUUUCAUGUAUUCCUUGGAGUUCUCCAAGAGCCAAUGCAUAUACUAUAGCAGACAAGAUAUGAACAAGUGGCUAAGUCAUAGGCUGUUUAUUAACUUCAAAAAUGGAAUAUACUGAUUUCUCAUUAAAACAAUCCUAUAAUAGAUGAGAGAGAAUCAAUUAAUCCAGUUGUAACAUUAUGAUUGGCUGCUGCACCACUUUUUUUAAUUAUCAUAGAAGAAAAAUAAAUAGGGAGGGUCCCCCCUAAGUUUCCUAUUGAAAACAUGCUAGUGGUUUUACCUUAAAAAAAAGGCCAUAUAAAUUACCCAAAACAUGUUAAGCAUGAGAUUAAAACAUGUUAUUUUUAUAGUUUAUUAAAAUCAUAUAAAAAUCUUUCAUCAAAAGAUUUAUCUCUGUAGUGUUUAGUGAUGGAUAUAUCUGGAUGGUAGUGUUGAAUGAAAUUUACUGUUCUUUUUUCCUAGUCCAGCCUUACUAGUGCCUGUGGUUAUAAUAAUUUCAAUCCCCUUCGAUUGAUCCAAGGUGAUUUGUUUACUUUCUAAGUUUCAGAAAGAUAUUUAACAUCACACCAAUGAUUGAUUAAUUCUCAGGGAGAUCACAUUUCAAAGAUGGAUUUCAAGUAUUGGGUAUCAAAUAUUAGUUCCCCAAAUCUAUCAAACAACGUGCUACUCGCAGAUUCCUUCAAAAAAAAAAGUGCCAGUCACAGUACUACUUAAUAAUUUUGAAGCAAAAGCAAAGAAUUUAACUUUCUUCGCUUGAAAUUAUUCUUGUUUCUUUACCAUAUUCAAUAUGUACAUGUAAAGAGGGCUUCAACCUUAUUUUGAAGUCAACCGAAGGACUUGUAUACAAAGUUACAGACACAAAAUCUUAAUGAAAGUGACUUGUUCACUCCAACUCCAGAGAAACAUUAUUAUCAAUAUCCAUAUUAAUGGAAGGUAGCUUCUGCUUCUUCUAAUUCAAUCCCUUCAUCCGCAAGUCUCUUGUCCUUGUACACAUACCACCUAGCAAACACCAAGUAAAUUACCAAGUUCAAACAACUCAAGAUUGCCAAAAGCCAGUAGAAGUCAUAGAGCCUCCCUUGGUUCAGAUUGUCUGGUAGCCAUGGAUGCUUGGUUCCAGUCACUUUGUGAACUAUAGUAACUAGCACAGAACUAACGAAAAACCCUAAUGAAAGAGUACUCAAAAACAAACCUGUGCUCAUUGUUUUCAUCCCUUUUGGACAUUCCCUCAAGAAAAAAUCGAGCUGCCCUAUGUAUGUAAAGGCCUCCCCAGCCCCCACUAGCAAAAACUGGGGGAUCAGCCAGAACACGCUCAUUGGGAUUUGAGCUGAUGGAUCAUUUGUAAGUCCAUGCGAGCUUGCGGACCUCAAUCGCUUGAUUUCCGUUAGUGCAGCAGCUAUCAUUGCUAUAAUGGAUAAUACUAAACCCACCCCGAUCCUUUGCAAAGGAGUUAACCCUUGUGGGUUUUUAAGCACUUUCCUUGCAAUCGGAGCAAUGAUUUUAUCAUAAAUUGGGACAGUCAAAAGAAUGCUGCCGACGAAGAAAACUGUGAGUGACGCUGGUGGGAUCUGGAAUGUGCCAAUGUGACGGUCCAUGGUCGUAGCUUGAGACACGGAAAAGGUUGUCAUUUGGGCAUAGACGGUCCAAAAUAUGAUAGUGGUUGCCCAAAUAGGUAACAUCCUUACCACCAAUUUCACUUCUUCAACAUCUGUUAAGGUAGCUAAGUUCCACUUGUUUGCCUCAGGCACAGAUGGGUCCUUGAUCGCUGCCCUAUCCAAGAAACUGUACACAAUACCAAGCAACGAAAAAAAAAUUAGCCAAUAAUAAAUAAAAGGUUAUCCUAAUGUGUUUUUUUAAUUAUGACCCAUAUAUCAAAGGCAAUUAAUUAAAGAAUGUCCACAAGUGUCAAAAAAGAUAUGGUUACUAUUAAUAGCGCGUGAUGCAAAGCAAGUGAAUAGGCUUAACUGGGGAUGGUGAAGGUGUAAAGUGAUGGUUUGAAUACAAGAUUUUGUGAGGAUUGAUCUAGUUUGGUUCCUAGUGAUCUCUCUUUCUAUUCCUCACUGAAUAAUAUUACCUCUAACUUACAUAUUAAAGUCUCAAUCUGCAUGUUUUUUAAUCAUUUCAUCUUUAAACACCUAUAUAUUUCACAGUCAAUAUUAAACCAGAUAUGUUAUACAAUGAAAAAAAUAGAGGAAAUUCAAUAAUUACAAUUUGAUUAUUCGUGUUUAGAAAUGAAAUAAAAGUAAAGAUUGGUUUUCAAAAAGAAUACUAACCGGAACUGCUUACUGUGAGGCAACUUUUGCUUCUUCUUCUUGUUAUUCAAUCCUUCAACUGCAUCAUCAAUUUCGAAAAGCAGGGAUGAAUCAAAUGGCAAAUCCAAAUGCCUCUUCUUCCACGCAACUACAAACACUGCGCCAAUUUGGGUCAAUGGGCUCCCCACUAAUUUCUUGAAACGGUAGCGCUUGGUACCCGAUAGAAACACCACCAACCCUAUCACGAUUGCACAAGCACAGAUACCGUAGCCCCAUUCACGUCCUAAAUUGUCUUGGAUGUACACCAGCACGGUGACUGAACCAAGUGAGCCUAUGUUUAUGAAGAAAAAGAACCAAUUGAAGAAGUUUGUCAUCUGGGAUUUCUCUUCAGGGUCUGACUCGUCGAACUGGUCUGACCCGAACCCCGAGACACUUGAUUUGAGUCCCCCAGUUCCAAGGGCGGUCAGGUAGAGAGCUAGGUAGAGAAUAAUGAGUUGUAUACCGCUUGCUGGGGUGCAAGUUGUUGCGUUGUCCCUGGUACAUUUAGGAGGCCUUAGGCUUGGGAUUAUGGUUGAGAUGGUCAAUAUGGUGACGCCCUGCUCAAUAAAGUAAUUAAAGAUUAAUGAACUUUUAGCUUUUCAUUUAAGGUGGGAAGUUAAACACGGAAGUAGCAGGUUAAAGAAAAUGAGAAAAUAAUUAAUCUUCAGGUCAAAGGAAAUGAAUCUUACAGUUGCCUGAACGGUGGCGAAGAUUGCGAUGGUGAGAUAUCUGUGAAUAGGAGAGAAGUCAUGGUUAACUGAGAGUGGUGCAAUGAGGCGAAGCCAAUACAAAUUUUUAGGGGCCGAAUGAAAUUUUAAUUUUUAAUAGUAUAUAUCUUUAUAAUUUUUAAAGAAUUAAAUCUAUUUUUUAUAAUUUUAGGGGGGCCAAAUUAUAAUUUUACCUUUACUAUUUUAUUUUUAAAAAAAAAUCAAGGGCCUAAAUUGAAAUUUUCCAUUUUAGGGGGGCAAAUACCUAUGCCAGCCCCUCUUGUAUCAGCCAAGUGCAUGCAAAAGUAGAAAAUGUGGUGGUGAGAGUUGGAGUUAGAGAAGAGGCCAAACCUGCCAAGAAAAGUAUCCGCGAUGAAGCCACCGAGUAGACACAACAUGAAAGAGGUGCCGAGGAAGUUGGUCACUGUGUUGGCUGCGGUAGCAUUCCCUAAAUGCAUAGUCUCAGUUAAAUACGUCACCAAAUUAACAGCUAUACCUAACGUUGUUAGCCUCUCACAUGCCUCGCCACCUGAUAGAGAUAUACACAAACAAAAGAAAACCCCAUCCGCUUAGCUUACUCAAAACCAAACGCCUACAAAAAUUUUAAAAAAAAAGUAAAAGCAAAAACUAAAGCAUUCAAAUGGAGGAGGUGCAUGAUAAAAUACCUAGAAUCAUAGCUGCACUGGUCCAGCCACCGGACUUGGACCGCUCGGUCGGCUUGCCCCUGUAGUCCCAGGCAUCAGGGAGGGUUUUCCCUUGUGUUACAGGGAGGGACAUUGUUCGAUACAAGGUGAGACAAUGGUUGCAAAAAGCUAACUUUGAAUUUGAUAGAAAGGAGUAGUGAUGGGAGCAAUGGGUGGUGAGGGGUUAUUUAUAGAGAGGAGAGUGAAGGAUGCUUGGGUGGUGGCACAAUCAUGUUGAGGCCAACAUGUGAGAUAAAAGGUCCAAUUUGAAGGAAAUGACACUUUUGGCCUACAUUGAUUGGUUGUGCUGUUAUUUAACUAAUUGUUGGACACAAAUGAUUGAUACAUGUACUCCAAAGUUGAAAUUUUUGAAACGUAGUUAGGAAUGAAAGGUCGGCUCAAGAAAUUUUUUUUUGAAACCAUCGGAUUUGAGCAUGAAAAUAAUUAUCAACUAACAAAAACAACCUUUAACCCAUAAAAACCAAUCCAUGAGGUUCAGAAUCACCAAAUAAUAUGAUAAUCUACUCAAACUAUUUUGGCAAGUUGUAACGAUAGAUAUUUGGAUAUUGUAUACGCAAUGAUGUACAUGAUAAGUGAGUGCACCAAAGACGAUAUUGUGUUAGGAUUGGCAACUUCACCACCCUUUGGUCUUCAUUUCCAUUAACCAAAGUUUUCUAACUUGGGACAACCUUUAUUUGGUAUUUAUUAAUAAACUUUUAGUUUCAGCUGCAAUUUAGUUUUUGAUGCCAUUUAAAAAAACUAAUCACUAAACUAAUAUUUGUAUUUAAGUCCGAAUUAACCUAGCAAUCAGAUUUUUUAAAGAUUUUCGGUACAAUAAUAAACUCUUCAUUUAUUAUAUUUUUACCUAAAAGGGACUGAUAUGUAUUUAAUGCAAGUUGCUUUCAGAUUUCACAUUAAUUAAUAAUGACUAGUAGUCACGCAAAAAGCAACAUUAAUUUGGUCGAUCUCAAAGUGUAGGAAAUCAUGUUAGAAAAGAUCCAUGACACAAAAUCUUUUGAUUAACGGUUCAAAUUUCAUUUGCUAUGAACACCAUCCAAUUCCCAUGGCCAUACCAGCUGCUGGGAAAUUUUUAAUAAAUAAAAAUGAAAAAGAAAGCUUCCUUCCUUUAUACGAAUUGAAGGUCAAAAUCUAUUUCUACUUUUUCCCUAGCCACCUAGCUAGUGCCCAUGGGUUCACUGUAUUUCUUACAUGCAUGAUAAGGACUCAUGUCUGUUUUUAUACGAAAAGAGUGGUUAUCAGAGUCGUUAUCCCAAUCUCCCAAUACCCUGGAGUUUCUCGCCAAUGCAUCAUUACACUUUUCCAUAUUUCAUUACUAUGCUUGAAAAUAUAUGAAACACUACAAUUAUCAAGAAAUAUGUAAAUCAUGUAUAGUUCAUGUUACUCGGUACUUUUUAAGUCUUUUUACAUAUGCAAAUAUUCAUUAUUUAGGUAAAACAAAGAUAUUCACAUCAUAUAUAACUUGUUGUUGGCCAGGAGAUACGAUAACAUGGAUAACCCUUUUUUUUUUUCCUCGACUUUAUUUUACAUAUGCACAUAUUCAUAAUUUAGCUACACAUCACUAUACUUCCUAACUAUGAAUUCCUCAACUCAUACAGCAUAGGAAUAAUAACAACGUAAGAAAUGCACUAACAGUGUGCCAAUAUUAAUGCGAAAAUAGCACAAGCUAAAAAUGGUAGGUUCCGUUGGAAAGGAAACUGACGACCCAGGCCAGCAACGAGUAAAUUAAGAACAUAGCCACAAAAGGAGCUUUUAGUUGAAAUAUGUGUCCAAUUGUUUUAAAUGCAUGAGAGGGAGACAUAUAUCAGCUAUAUAUCUAUUGCAUUUGAUUAGCAAUUAAUCAGCGAAUAUUGGUGCAGCAGAUGAAAGGAUGGGGUGAAAUCAGAAAAAGUUAAAAAGGGAUAUGGGUGCAUCCGUACGUUCACAUGAAGCUCUCCGGGUGCUCCUGCUCCCGAUUUCUCUUUUGCAUCCACUUUUAUACAAAUAUAUAUUUAUGUAUGAUAACUAAACCGUGAUUCCACAUUUCUAUUCAUUUCUAAUAUGAGAAUAACAAAUUAAAUUUUUUUAUUUUUAAUUUUUUCCUCCUAAAAAAAUUUAAAAUAUAACUAAAAAUGUUAAAAAUAAUGAGUUUAAGCACGCGGUUAAACUUGAUGUAUAGUUUUUUUUUUUCGUUUUUAAUUGCUUAAUGGCUAAUGCUAUCCUUAAUCUAAUGCUGACUAAGGUGAUAUCAAUAAAAAUAUACGUAUAAUUAGUAUAUUAUAAUUAUUUAUUAAAUUCAACUAAAAAUAAUAGAUUAAAUAAGAAUAAAAUUUGUCAAUUGAUAAUUAAUCUUUUAAAGUGUUGGUGAUGAACACCCUUAAAUUAGAUUUUUAUUUUGUCUUAUGGGAAUUAAUCGUACAUUUGGUUUAAUUGAAAGUUGGACGGUGGCUUAUAAUUAUAUCUUGCCACAAAGAAUUAUUGACAAGAACGGCCCAUCUUAGAAGUAUAGUUGGAACCAAACCGAUCGAGCCGGACCAUUCAACUAAUUCAAAAUAAAAACCAAUAAAAAAACAAAAUUUAAAAUUUAGAAAAAGUUUCAAAUGAUUCAAUAAAACACAAACAAAACUUAAGCAUCAUGUUAUGACUACUAAUUUUGAAAACCUAAACUCUUAUCAUAUAUGACGCUAAAGCCAAAACCUAAAAAAUUCUAAAAUUUUACUGUAAAAAAAAACAUUGAAUUUAAUGCUUUGGACUGGGAUGGGCUUGUAAAUUAAUAAGAAUUUUUUUUUAAAAUCGAAUGGGUGAUUGAACCGAUCAAGUCAUCAGUUUGUUAGUUCAAUUGAUUGAAUCAAUUCAACUAAAAAAUAAACAAUGUAACUUUUGACUCUUAAAUUUGACAACUAGGUUCAGUUUGAUACUUAUAUAUAUUUUUUGUUUACUUUAGCACUUGAACUUAACAAUUAGGUCCAGUUUGAUCCAUGAACUUGAAAAAUCUAACACUUUAAUGAUAUGGCACUCUAAGUUUAAAAUUUUUUAAAAAAAUUAGAUGAUGUGGUACAAUCUUAGAGUUUUAUAUUCAAUAUUUUAAUAAUUGUACUAAAUAUGAAACUCUAAGAUUCUACCACAUCAUCAUUUAAAUUUUGUUAAAAUUUUCAAACUCAAAGUGUCAUAUUAUCAAAGUUUUAGAUUUUUUAAGUUUAGGGAUCAAAAUGGACUUAAUUGUCAAGUUCAAAAGCUAAAAUGAACCAAAAAAAAAGUAGACGUAUCAAAGUGAACCUAGUUGUCAACUUCAGGAGCCAAUGUGGACAUACUUGCUAAGUUCAAGGGCCAAAAGUUACAUUAUCCCUAUUGUUUUCACGGCCAUUAACACAAUGGGCUUAAAUGAAUAACAAUUUUUAAGUUAAGGGUUCAAAAUAUAUCAAAAAAAAUUUCAAGGGCUAAUGUGGACCUACUUUCCAUUAAAAUAAUUAUUAAAAAUAAUUAAAUAAUAAAUUAAAAAAUCCGGCUCAACCUCCUGGUUCAACCGAUUUUUUUUUGAUUCAAUCUUUUUAUACCGAUUCUCGAAUCAAUCGAUUCAAAACCUCGAUUCAGUCUGAUACUUUGACCAAUUCUAGAUCCAACUAAUUUGACUGACCAAUCUAAUCCGGUUUAAAGAACACUACAAAAUAUAUUUUAAAAAAUUAAUUCAAGCGUUUUUUCUAAAUUUUUAUUUAUUUAUUCUAUACUGAAUAUUUUACAAGUUGAAAACAAUUAUUGAUAAAUUUAUCAUAUUACAGUAAUUGAAGAAUGAAAUUAGUUAAUUUCAAUUCAACUCAUCGGAUUUUGAUAAUAUUGAAAAAAAAAUGAUGCUGAUAAGAAGAGUUAAUGUUAAGAAAUGAAGCUAUAAGAAGAAGAGUAUUGCUUAUAGGUUGUUACUAGAAGGACCUUGUUAUAAUUUCAUUUAUUGAAUUGAUAUUACUCUCACAUUAAAUUUUUUUUUUAAUAUUUAAGAGUGUUUUUUGGAAUCUGGAAAAGACAUAUUUGCAGUUGUUGGUAAUGAAAGAACCUACCCCUCCCUACCAUUGGAACACGUGACACGUCUGAUUCCAAAGAUUCUACGUGGGCUCUUUUGGGGUGGAUUCUCCACCACUGAUUGAGCCCUAGGGUUGACUAUCCAUAAUUUUUUAAACCCCCCAUCGACCAAAAAAAUUUUAGUCAAUAUUAAAGACUUCAUUGGUCGGUUUCAUGGUGGCGGCCUUUGCCAAAUAGGUGCUUUUUUUUUUUUUAAUUAUCACCCUUGUAUAUAUAUAUUACUUCAAUGGUAAAAUGUGUAUUAACUAGCGGAUAAUUAAAACCAACAUGAAAGAAUUUUAAAAAAUAUUGAUAAAACCUUCUCUUCAUGGAUUAUAAACUAUUUUAUAAUGUUAUUUUUAUCAAGAAAAGUCAACCAAAAUAUAAUCAUGAACCAUUAAGGUGAUUAAUGCAACCAUAUAUUUCAGAAAUUAAAGGCAUAUAUAUCCACCGAUAACUACAAAUGACAUUCAAUAGCUUUAUAGUUUAUACCAUAUAAUUAAUUUCAUUCGUUAAUUCAUAUUAAUUUUUAUAAGCAAAUGAAUAGCUUCACGUUGACAACCCAAGAAAGGAAAGAAAAGGUCACAAAUGGAUAACAAUUAUGGUAUAAUGUAUUAAAUGUUUGUAUUAUUAAGGAUGGUGUGUAGAGUAGAAUAAAGAAUACAUUUCAUGUAUUCCUUGGAGUUCUCCAAGAGCCAAUGCAUAUACUAUAGUAGACAAUAUGAACAAGUGGCUAAGUCACAUAGGCUGUUUAUUAACUUCAAAAAUGGAAUAUACUGAUUUCUCAUUAAAACAGUCCUAUAAUAGAUGAGAGAGAAUCAAUUAAUCCAGUUGUAACAUUAUGAUUGGAUGCUACACCACUUUUUUAAUUAACAUAGAAGAAAAAUAAAUAGAGAGGGUCCCAUUGAAAGCAUGCUAGUGGUUUUACCCUAAAAAAAAUAAAAAAUAAAAGAGCAUGCUACUGGUUUUGAAUAUUAAUUUAUAUCCUAAUUCAUGGAUGGACAGCACAAUCUCUUAUAAGUCAAACAAACUGAUUAUCAAUUAGUAGUUAUGGGUUAGUCUUUAUAUUUUAAUAUGUUGGUUUUUAGGCUCUAGUUAUUAAAUUUAUGAAGUUUUGUUAUUUUUAAAAUUUGAUACGAUUAACAUAUUAUCACAUUUUAUUAGAAAAAAAUCUAGUUAAUAGGUUUAAUAAGUUUCGUUUGUGUCAAUAUUAAAAUUUUAAAAUUCGAAAAGUAUAAUAUAACUAAAAAAUAUAGCCUAAACCUAUAGCCUUAUAUAUAGUACGUGACUAAUAUAAUAGAAUUUAAUCAAAUAAAUUUAACUGUUAUUGUUUGAAUAUGAAUUAAAAUUUCAAAAUUCAAAAAAAUAAAAUGAUUAAAAUUAAUAUAUAUAUAUAUAAAAGUUAAAUUCAUAAUUUUUACAAAGUAUAAAAACUAACAAUAAAAUUUAACCUAUAAAAAAUUAAUUGGAGACUAUAAAUUACAAGAAAAAACUAUCAUUAUUAAGACAAUAUCGGGACCCUAAAAAAAAAAAAAGAACAAUAUUCGGACUUAAUUCGGUUAACCAAAGAUUUCAUCGUCCACCACGCGUUAAUAUUUUUGAAACCAACAUGAAGUCAUAUCUGAUGUGGUACAUUGUUUGAUUUGAUUAUGAGAUGACACACUAACUCAGAUACGUGGUCAAGGCCAACAUUGUAGCUUGAUAUAUAGUUAAGGUAGCUAUUUUUAAUUCCUUAAUGAUAUAGGUUUUGGAAUAUAAUGAGCUGAUCAAUAUUAAAUUUCUACCUUUUCCUUUUCUACUUUAAUUAUCCUAAUCAACCCUAAUUUACUCGGUCAAAUAAAACAGAAUAAGAUUAUAGUGUUAUUUAAGCUUUGUUUGUUUUAUUGAAAUUAGAUUUCGAAAAAAUAUUUUUUGUAUUUUUUUAUAUUUGUUUCAUGAAAACAGCUUGAUCAACAAAAAAUGACUUAUAAAUCGAAGAAAAAUAAGUCAUUUGUGUUAUUUAGUUCCUGUACUUUUAUUUUUAAGAAUUUAAUCCCUCCACUUUUUAAAUUUGAAAAUCAAACCCUAUUGUAAGCACUGUUAAAUUCUUUUUGUUAAUUUUGUUGAUGUCACAUUUUUUUAAUAAAAAAAUAUUCGAUAUUCAUGCAACAAAAAAAAUGAUGUUAUAAUGAACAUGAAUUUAACAAAAUAUUUUUAAUAAUACUAACAGCUAAACUUGAAUUUUGAUAUCUAUAAAGUAAGACUAACCCAAAAAUAAAAGUACAUGAACUAAAUUUCAAAUUUACGAAAAGUACAAGGACUUAUGACAUAUUUUAACCUAGUAUAAAAAUAUGAAUAUCUUAAUUAUAAAAAUAUGAGUAUUUGUUUAAAUAAUGCUUAGUUUUAUUUAUCCCUUUAUAACUCUAAUGUGUCAAUAUGUACUCUCAUAUAAUUUAAAUUAAGUUUUAAUUAAGCAUUAUUUAUUAUUAAGUUUAUAUAUGACAUUGAUUAUUACAAAAUAUUUUUUAUUAUAAAAUAAAUUUUGAUUGUUAAAAGGAAAUUGCAAUAUAAUAUUUUAUAACAAAUAUAUUUAUGUCAUGUUUGUUUUACAAAGAACAAUAUAAAUAUAAAUAUAUAUAUAAAAUAAACUCAAUUAAAUAAUGAAAAUUCAAUAGAAUCUUAAAUGUAUGGUUGUUUCAUUAAAAACAAAUUUUAUGAAAUAUUUUUAAUAAAUCUGUCAAACAACCGAAAAUAGUUUACACGGAUUCAUCCAAACACCAAAAAAUAUUAGCUUUUUCAGAAAAGCAAUUCAUUUUUCGGAAGCCAUUUUUAGUGAAAUAUUGAAAUCAUAAACGGACAAAACCUUUUUUUUAAGAGGUCAAAAUUAAAUUAUAUUUUUUGAGAGUUAAAAUAUAAUUUUGUCAUUGUAUUAACUUAUAUAUUUAUAAUUUUUCAAAGGAUUAAAUAAAUUAUUGUAUCAAUUUUGGAAGGCUUGAGUGCAAUCUUACCAUGUAUAACAUUGUUGAGUGUUUUUCUCUCCCUUCUUUAGAUGGUAAAGUUACGUAUUUAUAUGAUAUGAUUACUAUUCAUUAAUGUGAUAUCUUAGUAGGUUCUAUGCAUAUCAACACGUACCCUAUUCUAGGUUUAACACGUGUUUAUACAAUAGGGGUUCGCCUAUGUGAUAGUGUGCGAUGUCACAUUGUGCGAUCUUACAUGCAGGUGUGAGUGCUUUAUCUACAAACCCAUGGUGUCAAGCGAGUCUGAUGUGCGAACUGUGUAGAAUUCAACCCGAACCCAAUCAAAUUAUAAGUCGAUAAUAGUGAAUAUCAUAACAAACAUAUAAUUUUAUAAAUUUUAAAGCGUCAUUUUUGCAUUUUAAAGGGUCAUAGCUCUUAUGUAACCCAUUUUCUUGAAAAAAAAGAGAGAGUAUAUCUACAAUUAUUGAUAAUCACAAGUGUUAAAAGAAAAUAUGUAAGGAAAAAAAGAGGAAGAUGUAGAUUCCAGGAAGCUGAGUUGAGAGAUGCAAGGAAGGAGUUUGAUUAUGUAAUAAUUAGAGCAAUGGAAGCUAGUAAUUAAGCUAAUGCCUAAGGAAGUCUACAACUAGAGGUGUGCAUGGGCCGGGCUACCCGGCCUGGCCCGAAGGCCCGCCCGAAAUGUGAGAGGGUUUGGGCAAAAAUAUAGGCCCGAAAAAUGGGCUUGGACAAAAAAAUAAGGCCGUUUAAAAAAUGGGCCAGGCCUCGGGUAAGGUAUUUUUAGCCUGGGCCCGGCCCGAAUCACUAAAGGACAAAAAAAAUCUGCAUAUAUAUUUUUUAUUUUUGAAUGUUAUUUUCUUAUUAUUUUCUCCCUAUUUUGCUACCAUUUUACUAUUAUGUUGCUAUUAUUUUGUUGUUAUUGUUUGGAUAUUGUAUAAAAUUUAUUUUACUGUUAAUUUUCUUAUUAUUUUAAAGGCAUUUGUUAAUUUUUUAUUAUUUUAGAAGCAUUUGCUUGUUAAGUUGCAUUUAUCUUAGUGUUAUUUAAGUCUACAUAUGUUUUAAAAUUUAUUUUUAAUUUGUUGGAAAAUAUUUAUUUUGAUUUUUUUUGUAUUUUUGAUGUAUUAUAUAUAUUUAAAAAUAAUAUAAAAAAUUAAUACGGGCCGGCCGGGUCGGGCCCGAGUUUUAGUAUUUUUAUCCUGGUCGGGCUUGAAAAAAAUUUUAGGCCCAUUUUUUGGGCCCGGCCCGACCCGAGCCCAAUAAAUGAGCAUGAUUUUUUAGUUGAACCCAGCCCGAACCCUGCCCGACCCGACCCAUGAACACCUCUAUCCACAACUGGGGAAGUCACAAUAAUUGUGUGGACGCCAUUCGCCAACAACAAUUUUAUUUUUCUUCAUAAUUAAAGCAUGAUCCCAUGUGUUGGGAAUGUACUGAUCUAAGCUUUUUGGAUUCGGAUCCAUUUUCGAUUUCUUUAAAUUAUAUUAUCAAAGAUUCAAAAAGUUGAUCCCAUUGUGUUGAAAACCCUAAACCAAGCUAAUAUAAUACAAGAUUAAGGAAUGGAAACAAGGGAAAGUGGAAUGCAUGUCCCACGGUACAGAUUCAUUUUCCCACCCUCCUCCACUAUCAAAGGUGGCCAUUUAUGUAUUUUUAGCUUAAAAUUAAAGGGCAGAAAAGAAAAAAGAGGGUAAACAUGGCUCAAAAAUCAAAACCAAUAAAUUAAAAUAAACAAAUUUGGAAAAAUGUGAUAAACGUGAUAAGAGUAUAUCAAGCUUGCCCCUUUUUUUUUAAAUAAUAGAAUCAAAAUGGUAUUUACAAUUGUUUAAUAUAUAUAUUCGUUUAUUCACAGAGUUCAAUGUAAAUAUGAAGAACAAAAAAACACUCUUUAAUGUAAAUUCCCCACAUUGAUUGAUAAUCAAGAAAAAUAUACUGUAAGUAGUCAACUUUUUUUUUGGUUUUCAAUUCCAUGUUUUCGAGUUUUCUCUUCACAGCCAUUAAUAUUAAAGGGUGGGAGAGAGAGAAAAAAAAAAGAUUAAAGUAAUUACAAGUCUCGAGUUUUCACUUCUCAGGCAUGAAUGGGAUGUUAAUUAAAGAGUAAAAAAAGAGAGAAAGCAUCUAGUUUUGGCUCCACAAUGCAAGUUAAAGACACUGAUGAAAUGAUCGAAGGAAAAUGAAAGAAGUUCCAAGUCAGUCGAGUUUUCGCUUCACAGAUAUGGCCAACACCUCAUCUGGCCUUCAUGUAUGGAUGUCAUACUUAUCAAACAUAGAAAAUGAUAUAUCAAUGAAGAUGAAAAACCCUCGUGUUUUCGCUUCACAGUCAUGGCAUCAAAUAUUAAAUAUAUACUAUUUGUCCUAGAAAUGUUUAAUGUUCUAUCUCUACAUCUUUGACCCAUAAGAGUUAUCACUCGUGUCAUAUUUUAUGUUGCUAUUAUAUUUACAUAAAAUUCAAUGCAUGUUUUAAUUUGAAUGGAGUGAUAGUUAAAAAUUUUGUCAAUUUAAUAUGAAUUCAAAUCUUAUUAUUUACAUUCCUACCUUUAAUAUUGUAUAAAAAAAUUAUGUUGCAUUCAUGUUAUUUCUAUUAUGUUCAAAAGUAGAAUUCUACGAUGGUGAUGAAAUCUCUCACUUGGGCAAAUUAUGGGGUCUUAUAAGAUAGUUUUGACCUUUGUUAGUUUAGUUCAUUGAUUAGGGCUUUGAUCCAAUUAACUUAGAGGAGCCAAUGCAAAGAUAGGUGGUGUUAUAUUUGGGCUUUCAUAUGAGAUUGGGUUUGGGAGACCUCGAAUAAUGGGCCUUUUUCAGCAGAGAUUGAAUGAUUGACGUAACAUGGCAAUUUGCUCCCCCACCUCGCAAUCACAAACAUCCAAACUUACACCAAAAUUCUUAUUCUUGUGCCACCUAAAAUCAUAAUUUUAUGUCGGCCGUUAAUAAAAUAAAAUCCCAAUAACUUCAAAUAUAUGCAUUCACAUUUUACUAUGUAUAUUAAUUAGCUAUCGUCAAAAUCAACCGACUUACCCUCCUUUUCCGUCACUAUAAACCCCCCCCACCCUUCACUCUAGAUUCUCCAUCCUUUGCUACACUCUCUCUCCUAUACUAACUUCUUCCACUUAAAAGCAAGUUAGCUAGCUAGGGUUUUUUGAGCCAGAGAGAUGGGUUCGAAAAGAACAGCAUCACUAGCCCUCCUCUUUGCACUCAACAUCCUCUUCUUUUCCCUGGUGAGUGCUUGUGGUUCCUGCCCUUCCCCCAACCCCAAACCUAAACCUAAACCUAAACCAAAGCCAAACCCUACUCCCUCCCCAUCUUCUUCUGGCAAGUGCCCUAGAGAUGCUCUUAAACUCGGUGUAUGUGCUGAUUUGCUCCGUGGCUUGCUCAACGUCACCAUUGGUACCCCUCCUGUUCAACCCUGCUGCUCUCUCAUCCAAGGUCUUGCUGAUCUUGAAGCUGCCGUUUGCCUUUGCACGGCAAUCAAAGCAAAUAUUUUGGGCAUCAACCUUAAUGUCCCACUUUCCCUCAGUUUGCUUCUUAAUGUCUGCUCAAAGAAAGUACCCUCUGGCUUCCAAUGUCGCUAAAUCAGUUCUCUAAAUUCUUUCUCUUCUUAGUGCUGCGUGGUUUUGAUGUUCUUAAGGUCCAGUUUGAAGUGAUCAAUGUUUUCUCGGUAACUGGUCGUUUAAUCUACGAUGUUGUAGUGUUGUUUCCUUUUGGAUUGAUUCUGAAUAAAUGUAACACCAUAUAAAAAAGAAGAUGUUUAAUUUCUUUGGAUUUAUGUAUCUUCAUGGGGAAUGAAAUAUUAGUAUAAUUCAGCUAUGUUUCAUCACAGAGUAGAAGCACGUCUAAUUUCUCAAUGCUCUAAUGCUACAGUAUCUGGUCCCGUGGCCGUGACUUUAGUGGCGAAAACAUUUUGUAUAUAGGAAGCAUUCUCUUCUUUUGUUUAUUUUUUACUCUACAGGUUGAGAUCACCUGGUUUGUCUCCUAUAUUAUCCUUUCUAUUUUGUUACUUGUCAGUAUCUUAGUGCAACCCUUAUGUAACCAGCUUGUUAUUAUUUCAAUUAAAUAACAUGAUAUCUAAAACCUCCUGUGGUCAUGAAGAAUUAUAAAGUACCAGAAUUAUUAAACCUCGUGAAGGUUAAGGCAAAAGUGUGGAAUAUGUCGUGUAAUAAAAGAAGCAAAAGAGAGGAGGAACAUGCUCGCAUAUCAAUGCCGAUUCAGAUUUUGUGAAGGUCUGAGAAAUAACAGCUGGGACAUGUUUCACUAAAAGGGCCCGACAAGUGUAAACAAUUAGGACGAGAGGUUUCAAUCGUUCCUACGGUUCUCAUCUCGUUUAUUGUUUGGAGUGGGAGAGAUAAUUAAAAGUACCAUUCAACCAAGUAGUAUGAGUAAGAUAACCUUUUGUUUUCAUAAAAAAUUGAGUAAAUUAAUUCAGGAAUAUUAAAUUAAAAAAUAGAUUGAUUUUCUGUUUAUUCUUUUUAUUUUUAUUGUUAAAAAUUUAUAUAUACAUAUACAUUAACAUGAGGUACAAGUGACAUGUUAUGUGUUAUUGUUUAAUUAUUCUAUUAGCAACGCUAAUUUUUAAUAGUACAAGUUGAUAAACUUUUUAACAUAAUAAAUUAAAUUUAUUUUUUAAUUUAAUAUAUAAAAAUUAUUAAUUUACCUAAUUUUUAAAUGAGAUGAAAUACAAUUUAACUCCUAAUAAAAAUAUUUAGUGAUACUUUUAUUGAUAACAUAACUAUAAACAUUUUUAAUAUUUUUAAUAUUCAUUUUACGUUUGAUAUUUUGUCUACCUUUAAAAAUAUAGGAUAUUUAAUGGGUACAUAAUAUAGUAAUAAACUUUUCUAGUAAGUACUAAGUGGUUUCAAGAAAGUAAAUAAAUGAGAGUGGUAUGGCUCAUGGCUCAUGGUUUUGAGAGCCGGUAGAACCACCCACUGAAGCACAGUUUGGAGCCCGUGACUAAUAUGAACGCGUUCUCAAACGAGGAAAAAGAAAAAGGAAAUGAUGAAAAAGAAGGUUCAUUUCACCUCAGCCUCCGUCACUGCACCAAAAGAAAGGCAAAAGAUUCCUUUGGCCUUCCAGAGAUUUCAAGACAAUGGUCUUCCUUUAAACGUGUUGAUUACUUAGGAAGUGAUAAUUUUAUGAUUACAUUAUAAAAAGUGAUAUAAUCAUGUGUAUUUUAUUUCAUUUAGUUAAGCAUUUUUUUCUAUAUUCAUUUUAAAAAUCAUAAAUACUAGUUGUUUUAAGAAUGUAAUAUAUCACAUCACUACCUUGUUAUUAUGUUUUUGAUGGUAAGUUUCUGGUCAUAAUGCAAUACCUGAAAGGAAUAAAUUAUUAAAAAAAAAAUGCAUGAACGACAACUAGAUUUUAAACAUCAAUAUGAAAUUGGAAAAUUAUGAUUAUUGUCUACCAUGGAUAAGACCAAUGUCGUAUUCAUUACCAUUAACCUUUAAUUUCUUGCAUUAAGAUUCUUUAAAGAAAACGGGCACUCCAACCCCACGCAAAGGGAGGUAAUAAUAGCCGAUAACCCUCCCAAUCCCAUUCUUACACCUAUUAAAUCUUAGUGAUAAAAAACGAGAUUCUAUCUGCUUUAACAUCUAUAACAUAAUUAGAAAUAUAUAUAAAAGAUUUAAAAUAAAAUAUAACCUAAAAAAGGAUUUUAAAGCAAGACCCGUGAACUGAUUUUUGUCUCCUAUUAUAACCUAAUACCACAACCAUCAUAAUCCAAUAAUUAAGUUUUCAUAAUCUCCUCGAUACAUGCAUGUACUAUUAUAAUAACUAAAAUGCAAAUACAAAAUUUACUAAAAGGAGGGGGGGGGACACCUUUGGCAUGUCAUAGAUAUUGAUUUUUGAGAGCUGAGAUGGAUAUCCAACUCAUCCUGAUUAAUUAUUAUUGUACUUGAGAUUUAGGUUGAACUUUGAGGCAUUGGAAAUUUGAUUAGUUAAUGCUAAAACUGAAACUAUUUUCGUCUUCGUUCGAAGGAAAAUGACGUCCACAAGCAACGAAGUUCUAUUUAGAUAAUGUCGAUGAAUUGCUAUUCUAACGAUUAUAGUGGCAUUAUUGAGUUUGAAGAUAAUAAUGUUCUCUGUAAGUGCAAUUAUUACAAUAGAUUCUUCCAUAAAUAGUUUGCCUGUCCAUAACUAUAAGUAGUUGAAGAAUAUAUGUUAUCUACCAUGAUGUCUAAUUACGUUAAAUUUUCUUGCAAAGCCGAUUACGUCAAUUAUUAUUACUAUGGGAAAAAUAUGUAUAUACUUCUCUAAUAUCUAACAUAAAUACUGUAAAAUUUUUUAAAAAUUAGCUGUAAAUCAUAAUAUAAAAGAAGCGACUGAAUGUAUUGCAUUUAGGUCACUUCUAAGUUAAGUACCACCCAAGAUUAUUAAUUCAUUUUAGUUGAGUUAAAUCAUGAUACUUUCGAAUGCAAGUUCUAUAAGUUCCAGCCCUGAAGAUUAAAGGAAAAAACGCUAAAUCAAUUGAAAAUACAACCACAAUGGUGAAAUCAUAAAACGACCCCAACUCAAACCUAAUAACGGAAAAGUACAGAUUUUCUUUUCACAAUUUCAACGGGUUUUUUGGUAGCUAUCACAAACAGUUAAGAAUAGGUGACCAAGGUGGCAACCCUGCCUAAAAGCUGAACUGACUAUCUGACUGUCUUUUUUCUUGUGCGUCGGGAGAGAAAGUGUGACGGAUAGCCUAGUAAGUAAUGAAUGUGGCGCUUAAAAAGGAGGACAAAUGAAACCAGGUGGAGGGUUUUUCCCACAAGUUAUUAAAGCUUGAAGAGCAAGGGGAAUGAAGAUGUUAAGGUUUAGGAGCUUAAGCCUUAUGGCUGUGCAAAGACAAACGGCUGCUUCGAGCUCUAGUAGACCUCCCAGCACUGGGCAGCAAGCAUUCUCAACAGGGUCUCCUAACCCAAUAUGCACCAAUCCUCCAAGCACAUCCACGCACAGUCCUAGCUUAAGUGCAUUAACCGGGCAUGUUGGUUGUGUUGGCACAUAAUUAAAUUAAUCUUGCACAAAAUAAAUUAUGAAAAGUUACGAAUGUGAAGAGGCUUGAAUAUGAAGAGUUAAUAAUGCAAAGAGACUUGAAGAUGAAAAGUUACACACAUGCAUGGAUAGUCAUAACUCUUAUAGUAUUUAAGUUAUGUAAAUGAAUAGUCACAACUCCUAGCAUUUAGUGAUAUAGAUGAAUAGUCACUUACAACUCCUAUAUAAAGGGUUGUAUGUGAUGAAGAAUAUUAUUGAGUGAGUGAAAUAAAAAUUAAUCAAAAGGGUGUUUUCUUUCUUCCAUAAAAAUUAUUUCUCUUUUCAUUAUAUUCUUUAUUAUAUUCUUUGUUUUAUUUCUCCAAAUUUUGAUCAAUUUUCUACAAAUUGGUAUCAGAGCCAGGUUCGAUCGAAAUGAACAAUUCUAUUCCUCUUUCUUCCGUUCCCCAAUUAACCAAAGAAAAUUAUAGCAAAUGGAGUAUCCAAAUGAAGGCUCUUCUUGGAUCUCUAGAAGUUUGGGAGAUUGUUGAAAAAUGUUAUAAUGAAGUUGAGACUGAAGAGGAGGAAGGAUUAACACAAGUUCAAAAAGAGAGUCUAAGAAAAUCAAGGAAGAAAAAUCAGCAAGCCUUAUUUUGAAUAUAUCAAGGAGUUCAAUCAUAUGAAGCGGCUUGGGAAAAAAUAGCUUGUGCCACCACGGCAAAACAAGCAUGGGAAUUUUUACAAAAUUCAUUCAAAGGAGAUGAAAAGGUGAAAAGAGUUCGGUUGCAAACUCUUCGAGGAGAGUUUGAAAGAUUGCAAAAAACAGAGUCAGAAUCAGUUUCUGAUUACUGUUCACGGGUUUUGUCCAUAGUCAAUCAAUUAAAAAGAAAUGGUGAAACUAUGGAUGAUAUUCGUGGUGUUGAGAAAAUCCUCCGUUCUUUAGAUUCCAGAUUUGACUACAUUGUGGUUGCCAUUGAAGAAUCAAAGGACUUGAGUACCAUGACUAUUGAUGAACUCACAGGUUCGUUGCAAGCCCAUGAAGAAAGAUUAAACAAGAAGAAAAAGGAAGUAGAUCUAGAUCAAGCACUCCAGUCAAAGUUGUCUCUAAAUGAGAAUAAGGGAGAUUUUAAAAAUCAAAGAGGGAGAGAUCGUGGUCGUGGAAGAGGAAGAAAUUUUAGAGGAAGAGGCUCAAAUGCUCGUGAAAGAGGUGAAGAUGUAAGCAUGGAGAAUGGAUGGAAAGAAGCCAACCAAAGUCAAAAUUUUAGAGGAUCACAAAGAGGACGUGGACGUGGAAAUCAAAGAGGAAGAGGUCGUGGCUAUUUUGAAUGUUAUAAUUGUCGCAAACCUGGUCAUUUGGCAAGUGAAUGCUGGUACAAAAAAGAAGAGAAAAAUGAAGCUAAUAUAGUAAAAAAUAAUCAAGAGCAAAAGCAAGAAACUUUGUUGCUCGUAUCUCAUGGUGGAGAGAUUGAUGAUGUCUGGUACAUAGACAGUGGUGCUAGCAAGCAUAUGACAGGUAACAAAAAUUUAUUUUCGAAGUUCUUUGAAUCUGAUUGUGGAAAAGUAAAAGUAGGAGAUGGCAAAGCUUACAAAGUUAGCGGUGUUGGUGAGUUGGAGUUCAAAACAAAGCAAGGAAGGGUAGAGAAAAUGUCUGAAGUUUAUUUUGUUCCUGGUCUUAAAAAUAAUCUGCUUAGCGUUGGGCAUCUCUUAAAGAAGGGGUAUGAUAUUCAUUUCCGAGACAUGGCUUGCUAUUUAUCAAAGAAAAAUCAGGUUGUUGCUAGAGUUGGAGUGGCAUCAAAUAAUCUUUUCUCUCUUACCCUUCAAAAUCAGAAUAUGUCUUGUUUUAUUGGUGCUCAUAAAGGAAUUUCAAAGUUAUGGCAUGAUAGAUAUGGACAUUUAAACUAUGGAAAUUUGGAGAUGCUUUCAAGGAAGAUGAUGGUUAGAGGUUUACCAAAAAUCGAUCGGCUUGAUGAUGUUUGUGAAGCAUGUCAACUUGGAAAGCAACACAAAAUUGCUUUUCCUUCUCAAUCCUCGUGGAAAGCAAGAAGACCAUUGCAACUUAUUCACUCAGAUCUUUGUGGUCCAAUGACAGUUUCAUCUUUAGGAGGUAAUCGUUACUUUAUCUCUUUCAUUGAUGAUUACUCAAGAAAGUUAUGGGUGUAUUGUGUCAAAGAAAAAUCAGAGGCUUUUCAGAGAUUCAAAGAUUUCAAGGCAGAAGUGGAGAACUUUACUGGGUUGAAAAUUAACACCUUGCGUACAGAUCGUGGAGGUGAAUAUUUUUCAAAAGAAUUUGAGAAAUAUUGCCGAGAUUGUGGCAUUCGGCAUGAAAUGACAGUCCGCCAUACACCUCAGCAAAAUGGUGUGUGUGAAAGAAAGAACAGAACAAUUAUGGAAAUGGCUAGAUGUCUUCUUAAAAAGAAGAGGUUAUCAAGAAGAUUUUGGGCUGAAGCUGUUUCUUGUGCAGUUUAUCUUAUAAAUAGAUCACCGACAAGAAGCUUGGAGAAUUGCACACCACAUGAGGCGUGGUAUGGUAUAAAGCCUAGUGUUAGUCAUCUUAGAGUAUUUGGGAGUGUUGCCUACUCUCAUAUUCCAGAUGCAAUGAGAAGCAAGUUGGAUGACAAGUCAGAGAAAUGCAUUUUCAUUGGCUAUAGUGAAAGAAGUAAGGCAUACAAGUUGUACAAUCCGGUGAAAAAGAAGAUUGUGAUAAGCCGAGAUGUUCGGUUUGAUGAAAAUUCCAUGUUUGAAGAUAUGGAAGUUGAAAAGGAAAAGUUGCCAAUUUUUCCUUUUGAACUUGAAGAAGAAGAAGAGGCAGUAAUUGAGAAUGCUGAAGAUGAUGCUCAAGUAGGAAAUCCUCCUGCUUCCCCAAGUUAUUCAUCAAAUUCUUCUUCAUCCAGCCCGAUCCGAAAAACGAGAAGCAUCCAAGAGUUAUAUGAUGUAACGGAUGAAGUUGUGCAAAAUGAUGUUGUAUUCUUUGCCUUCUUUGCAGGAGAAGAUCCAAUUUCUUUUGAUGAUGCAUAUCAAGAAGAAUAUGGAGGAAAGCCAUGAAAGAAGAGAUUUGCUCAAUUGAAAACAAUGAUACAUGGGAACUCACAGAUUUACCGCCGCACAAGAAUUCAAUUGGAGUCAAAUGGGUGUACAAGACAAAGAUGAAUCCGAAUGGCUCUAUCAACAAGUACAAGGCAAGACUGGUUGCAAAAGGAUACAAGCAAAAGGAAGGAGAAGAUUUUACAGAGGUAUUUGCUCCAGUUUCAAGACUUGAGACAGUUCGGUUACUUAUUUCUCUUGCUGCCCAAAACAAUUGGAAAAUGUUCCAAAUGGAUGUAAAAUCUGCGUUUUUGAAUGGUGUUCUCAAAGAAGAAGUCUAUGUUGAUCAACCACCAGGGUUUGUCAAAAAAGGAGAAGAAGAAAAAGUUUACAAGUUGAAGAAAGCUUUGUACGGGUUGAAGCAAUCACCCCGAGCUUGGUACAGCCGAAUCGAUUCUUAUUUUCAAAAGUGUGGAUUCCAAAAAUCUCCAUAUGAGCAUACUCUCUACAUCAAAGGCAAUUAUCAAGGAAGAUUCAUGGUUGUUAGUCUCUACGUUGAUGAUCUUAUUUUCACAGGAAAUGAUGUGAAGACGUUGAAAGAAUUUCAGCACUCAAUGAUGGCAGAAUUUAAGAUGACAGAUUUGGGAGAACUUCAUCAUUUUCUUGGUAUUGAAGUUCAUCAAUCCAAGAAAGGAAUUUUUAUUUCACAAGAGAGCUACGCAAAGGAAGUUCUAAAAAAGUUCAUGAUGGAAAAUGCGAAUCUAGUCUCUACUCCAUGCAUUACAGGUCUGAAGUUAUCUAAAGAGGGUGAAGGAAAGCUUGUCAAUUCCACCAUAUUCAGAAGUUUGGUUGGGAAGUUGAUGUAUCUGACUUCGACAAGGCCUGACAUCGUGUAUGCUGUUAGUUUGGUGAGUAGAUUCAUGGAGAAACCUUACUCCAAUCACUGGGAGGCUGCCAAGAGAAUAUUGAGAUAUGUGAAGGGAACCAUUGAUUAUGGAAUUUUCUAUAAAGCUAAUACAUUAGUUGAUCUCAUUGGUUAUACGGAUAGUGAUUUAGCAGGAAGCAUUGAUGAUAGCAGAAGCACUUCUGGUUAUGUUUUUCACCUUGGUAGUGGUGCAGUUUCAUGGAGUUCAAAGAAACAAUCAGUUGUGGCGCUUUCGACUACAGAAGCUGAAUAUAUCGCUGCAUCUUAUGCAGGAUGUCAAUUGAUUUGGUUACGUGGAAUUUUGGAGAGUCUUAAGCAGAAGCAGAGCAAGUCAACGAUUUUGUUUUGUGACAAUAGUUCUACUAAUUCGGUCACAAAAGAUCCAGUUCUUCAUAAAAGGACAAAACACAUUCGCAUUCGGUAUCACUUCUUGAGGGAACUAGUGAAUAAUGGUGAUAUUCAAGUUGAAUAUUGCAAGACAGAAGAUCAGAUGGCUGAUAUCUUCACAAAGCCGCUUAGUGGACAAGUCUUCAAGAAAAAUGUUGAAAGGCUGGGAGUUCGAAGCAAGUUUAAUUUAAGGGAGACAUUGUUGGCACAUAAUUAAAUUAAUCUUGCACAAAAUAAAUUAUGAAAAGUUACGAAUGUGAAGAGGCUUGAAUAUGAAGAGUUAAUAAUGCAAAGAGACUUGAAGAUGAAAAGUUACACACAUGCAUGGAUAGUCAUAACUCUUAUAGUAUUUAAGUUAUGUAAAUGAAUAGUCACAACUCCUAGCAUUUAGUGAUAUAGAUGAAUAGUCACUUACAACUCCUAUAUAAAGGGUUGUAUGUGAUGAAGAAUAUUAUUGAGUGAGUGAAAUAAAAAUUAAUCAAAAGGGUGUUUUCUUUCUUCCAUAAAAAUUAUUUCUCUUUUCAUUAUAUUCUUUAUUAUAUUCUUUGUUUUAUUUCUCCAAAUUUUGAUCAAUUUUCUACAGGUUGGGUAGUUGGUGGAGCAGGAGUGCUACCCCCACCACCACCUCCACCUCCACCACCGCCACCGCCACCUCCUCCACCGCCGCCUCCCCCUCCACUAGAAGGUGGGUAAGGAGAAGAAGGUGGUGGGUUUGUAACAGGAGGGUUGGUAACGGGAGGGUUUGGUAUUGGUGGGACAAUAACUGGUGGCCUUGGCGGCUUUUUGGAUGGUGGUUCUACCUUUGGGGCGCCUCCAUGUUUUGGUGGGUGCUUAGGUUUAGGGUGACCCGGGUGUUUUGGGCGGUGGUAUGGGGGGGGGUGGACUUGUACAAGGAGCACAAGCAUAAAUGGGUGGCAACGAUACAAACAUGAAAAUCAACAAGAUGAAAAACAUGGCCGUAAGCUUCCAACCCAUGACUUAGGGUUCCAAGAUAUUCCCCCCGUUUGAGUUUUGAUAGGAUUGGAUGAAAUUCAAAGGAAACUAUAUAUAGCUCAACUUUAACGUGUCAGUGUAACCCGUGACUAUGGCUAAGAGUUUCAAAACAGCGAGACCCCUAAGAAGGUACCUGAAAGAAAAAACAUGGAGGAUACGGUUCCCAAGAGACGAAAUUGAAAAACAAAUUGAAGAUUUUGGAAGGUUGUAAGUUUUUUGCAAACUACAAUGUCCUGUCCGUGACUGUUGAACAGCUGAGUUUGAAUCCGUGAACAAGUGAUUGAUCUCUGAGCCGGAACAGUAGAGGUUCAGUUUCGCAGAUUUCUAUGACCUACUUAUUUGUUUGUUUCUUACACUAGUUACUUCAUUUCCUUUAACAUCGUUUUGAAAACCUUUGCCAUUCCUUUAAUAUUAUUAGCCUUUGCUAGGGUUACUUCUGCAAUUUCUUUUUUUAUUUUCGUCAGAUUCUGCAAUUUCGUUGUGAUAUCUUAUUAAGAAGGAAGAGAAAUAAUUUCUAUAAAAGAUUUUGGUGGAGGAAGAGUACUUAUGAAUAUCUUUUCUUUUUUUUUUUGUUCUUUAAAACAUUCAACUAAUAUCAUUUCAUUACUACAAAGAGGAAUUUAUAAAAAUUUGGAACAUCACCCAAGCAUAAAUAACUUAAGAAGGGUUAAGUACAUUCCCUAUUCAUAUCUAAAACCAAUUAAUAAUUUGAAAUUACAAUAUCCACCAGCUUUUGCAUCUUUCGAAAAGGAAACAUAAAAUGUUUUUGCAAUAUAUAAAUUUUCGACCUGAAUAGUUACGGCCAAGCAUCCUCUAUUAAUUAUGCUGUGCUUACUUGUAAGAUCAGUAGAUGGUACAGCCUAAGUAAUGUAUCAGAGCAGAAGUCAUUCGUGAACUAGCUAAGCGUUUGCACUUUGCAGUUGCUGUGUUUUUAAUAAUUGAACAUGUGAAAGCUCGUCUUUUGUUUUCAAUUUUUUUAUUAAUUAGAUUCCGUAGAUGGUACUCGCGUCCUACUUGUUAUAAUGUUAACAGCAUUAACUAAAUUAAGGUUAAACAUUGUUUAAAUAAGUUGCAUUGAAAAAACAAAUCUCGAAUUAAACAACUAAAAUAAGUUCGAGUCAUAAUGUACGUGAAUUAUUUGUGAUUCUCUUUCAAUUUUAUAGUAAUGUAGUUGGAACCUACAAAAAUAAAUAAAUAUUUUUAAUAUAGCAGUGAACAUGAUCAAAUCUACAUCUAGACAUAGAUGAUUACCUAAGGUGGGUAUGGGAUACUAGACGACAAUUCUCAGUUCAGUUCGCCUAUAUAAAGUGAUUACCAAAGAAAGCUUUGACACCAUUGAUAAAGUUUCUUAUGGCUACUCAGCAAUGGUAAAAUUAUGACGAAUGCGAAAAGGGUUUACUGACACGUGAAAAUGAAUGGGGAGUGCCCGUUUUGCUUGAAUAUAAUGGAGGAUGCAAAUAAUGUUAUGAGAAUUUGUAGUGCUGUUGUUGUUACUUGGGCAUUGGUCGUGAUAACUCAAAAUAUGAAUGAAUUUUUGUCGAUGGAAAUUAAGGAUUGGGUUUUUGUUAAUCUGCGAUUUCCGGAUUAUUUUGCCAAUGAUGCUAUGGAUUGGGAUGUGCUCUUUGAAGUCAUUUGCCGGAACUUAUGGCAAAGAUGUAAUAGGUUAAUCUUCGAUGAAGAUUUCUGUGAUAUGGAAAGUGUUGUGCAAAGGAGGAGCCAAAGGCUGAAUUUAGAGGUCAUUAGGAGUCGGGGUAGUGAGGGGCUGGAGUUGGAUGGAGGGAACCAAUGUAAUCAUCGACCUAAUGGUGGACAAGACCGCCUGAAGUCUGGUGGAAAGUGAACAUUGAUGGGGCAGUAUGACAGAAUGAUAAUGUAGCAGCAGCCGGGGGUAAUUAAAGGAGUUUUUCUAGGUUAUUGGCAAAUUUACGUUACAAAUUUUUAAGCCAACCUUCUUGACUUUUUUUUUGGUUGAAUUCAUUAAAUAAGAUGAAUAAGAGCCAAAUUCGAAAUUCUGUAGCUCAUAAUAUGUUUAAACUACUAAAAAGUUGAAAAUCUAAUUUGUAAAAUAAAAUUCAAUUUUAAAUUCAUUUUUUCAUGAUAAUUUUAACUAAUCCAUGAAAAAUAAAAUAUGAGAUAAAAAGAUAAUUAAAAACAUGAAUAGUAAAUUCAAAACGGAUAUUAUUAUAAAUAAAUUAGAAUUUAUUUAUUUAUUUAAUCAAUCAAUUUUUUAAAUAUUUUUAUUUUGAUCACGUAUAUAAAAAUAUUUACAAUUUAAUCAUUAUCUGAAAACAUUUUAAUUAUCCGGGCAUACCUAGUCAUGUCCACAUAAGCAGUAAUUUUACGCAAUAAAAAAUGGGUUGAAAUAAAAUUUCUUUCGUCACUGUUCAUCUUCCAUUUAAUGUGCUUAGGGGAAUGAGGAAACUGUGAAGAAAAACAGAGGAGCAUUGCCCCUGUCCAUCUUUGGUGAGGAUCCAUUGAAACAUGAAGAUGUUGAUCUUAUAUCCAUCAAUGAUCUUAUAUCAAGUUGGUAUAGCCAAGCUGAGACAAAUGCUUCUUUAAAUCUGACUAGCAAUCCAAGUGAAUAUGGACAUUUUCCCUCUCAGAUAGAUCUGGGUUCCAAAUUAGUAAACGGUUAUAAUAAUUUUGAUGACUACUCCUGGGAAUUUAAAGGUGCCGUUUCUGGAACUGGAGGAGAAAACCAGUUUUGGAGAUUCAUAUGAAAAAUAUACUAUCAAAACAUAGUUAAAUGAUUAUUUAGGAAAAACGGUUUCUGUAGAAAAUUUAAAGCAAUGAGCUAUAAUUGGAGGGGGUUUGGGGACAAUACUGAAACAUAGAUGAUGCGCAUGUUUCGGAAAUAAUAGGAUUAAAAAACAUCAUCCAUAAAUGGUAAUGAAACAAACGAUGAUGUUGUUGUUAUUAUGAAUAAUUUUGUUUGGAAAUUACUUCUUAAAUGGAAAAAUACGCUGACCCCAUUCCACUAUUUUAAACAAACGAUGAUAGCUCUUUUUUCUUUUCUUUUUUUUUUUUACUGUUUAAAAGUACCAUUGUAAUGCUAAAUAAUCAAAAUACCUCAUUUAUUGAUUUAUUUUUCUAAUUGUUUGUUUUUUAGUGAUUUCAUUUUAAAUUGUAAAUGGUAAAUAUAUAUGUGUAUUUUUAAAAUAUUUGUAUGGGCAUGCCAUUUAUUUUAAAUAUAUACAAUUGUAAUGAUGAUGUUUGUACACUACUAUUUAUCAAUUAGUUUCCAUCAAAUUUAAUUUUAAAAUUUGAAUUAAAUAUUAAAAAAAUCAUUAUUAUAUUUAAGUCUAAAAUUUAUAAUAAUUUUUGUCAAAUAUAAGUACUCAUCUAAAUUAAAAAAUAAUACAAAAUGUCAAACUCAAAUAUCAAAUGAUAUAUUAAACUUUUAUUAAAACUAAUAAACUACAAUUUUUUUUAUAAUACUUUCUGCCAAUUUUUUAUUUAUUUAAAUCUAUCCUAAAAACACAUUACAUUUUUUUUACUACACACUAAUGAUCUUAUCCCAACUUUAUAUCUGAUUUCCAGUUUCUGGUUACAGCGCAUGGCCCCCAGAUUUGGAUCCCUGGAUUCUGUAAAACCCCACUGGAUUUUCAAAGUUGGCUGGCUUAACAAAAAUAGAACAAUCAUUGAAUAAUGUGGACACAACAUCUGCAUAGAAAUAUAAUUAUGAUAUUCCCAUCAAAAGUAAACCUAUUGGUUGAAGUAAUUUCAUCUAUGGCGAGAUUAAAAUUAGAUCUGUAGGCUUAUUUGUGUGGUGAUACAACAUAUGAAUUGUAUAAAAAAAAGUCCUUAAUUGUUUUCCAUCUUUAUGAUCAUGUCCCUAGCAUGAUACAGCCUAAGGUACACCAUGUAGUUACUGUACAAUCGCUACUUUGAAUUUGCAAGUUCAUAGCUAAUACAGAAAUGGCGCAAUGUUAUUUAUAAUUUUGUUUAAUGCCUGCUCUAUAUAUUUAGUUAAUUCAAACAAUGAUUCCAUUUAAUCAACACAUAGUAUGUAAUUUUUAAAUGGUUCCGCAUUGAGACGUGGGAAUGGACAUGUCAUAUUAUAAAUUUAUAAUAUGUGGGAAAACAGAUUUCAUUGGAAAAAGGAAAGCAGAGAAAGCAAUUUCACCCUUUGUUUGCCAUUCAUUGAUGAACAUAAAAAUGGCUUAGCACCAAUAAUCACACACACACCAUAUUCUGAUUCUCUCAUGAUUUAGCACCAAUCCUAAAAUGACAAGGAGGAAAUGCAUAUUUGUUCAAAAUGUUUGCUUCAGCAACAAACCCACAAUCCAUUAUUCAACUGUUCAGAGUUCCGGAAGUAAAAUGAAACACAUGGGGAGACAAGUGACAACAAGAACCGUACAAUUGCUCAUACAGAUCUACCUAUGAUUCUCCACCAAGCUCCACUCGCAGGUUGUCAUAUGGAUAUACUUUAGGUGCCUGGUUAACAGUUGCAAAAAAAAAAAGAGUAUAUCAAAAUAUGUUCCCAACAAGUAACACAACUCUAGUGGCGUUCUUUGUUGCAGAGAAAAGUAAAACAAUGGAUGGAAAAAGGAAGUGAAAAAGUGAAAAAAAAUAAUUUGAAUGUACUUGAUACAAAAGAAAAGUGAGAGGAAAGAAAAUAAAAAACAUUUACUAUUUUCAAUCCAAAAGCAUAAAAAUAAAUCAUUCCAAACUGGAAUGAAAGGAGGGGGGGGGGGAAUGAGAGAAAUCUAAGUUAAGUAUACGCAUAUUUACCAGAUUAAAUGUUUUUUUUUUUUUUUAAAUUCCUCUAAUUUUUCGAUUCUACCAAGGAAUGAAUGGAAGAAAAUUAAUUUUCCUUUCCACUUCUCCAUCUUUCUUGCCAAGCACCCUAAUGGAAAGAAAAAUAUAUUUUUCUAUAUUUCUACUUUUCUCCUUCAAUUUUUCAUCUUUCCUUUCCUUUCAACCUUACCAAGCAAAGCCAAAGAUUAUAACAAACUAAUUAGUCGUUGCAAGCAAACACAAUAUUAAACCAAAUUUAACAAAUGCAUAUCAAAUAUACUGCUGUCCUGAGCAAUGUCAUACUGAGUACCUCUACAGAGAGCUUAUGUUCUGCUAUUUAUCAAACAAACCAUUUGAGAUAUCCAUGGAGGUGAGAUGGUAAGUACUUUCGCAUCCCCCAUGUAUAGGAAUAAAAGGAAACUAUCCUACAAGGGUUUUUUUGCAAACCCCAAAAUACAUUGUCAACUUUGCUAACUCAACAUUUGAUGAAGGCAGGCAGCCAAAAGCAGUCUCCAUUCCAAAGGCAAGGGUUCAUUAGAAAAAGAAGCUAGGAGAACCGAAGACAUGGAUCUUAAAUCAUAAACUUGAGCAAAGUUCUUAGAGCUAUAAAAGAUUGUUGAAAACAGGCUAGAGUCAUGAAUCGUCUACAAAGAAAGAUAUUCUGUUCUAACGUGUGUAGUUAGUAUAAUAAUUCAGAUAACCGAUCCCCAAUCCUAUGAUCGCCACUGACUUGUGCAUGAGAUUCAAUUUUUCUAAGCAGACAAACAGAGCGACACUAUGGUACCAUGGCAUUUGAUUCAAUAAUAUCCUCUAUUUCUACUUUUUCCAAUUUGGGGUAUACCAAAAAUCGUCACCAAAGCUACAAAAUGAUAUCACUCGCAUAAAGAAAUUUAAGAGCUAUAAGGAAAUUUGAACUGAACCAAGGCAAAAUCAAACAAUCAAGCCAUUGUUUUUUUUUUUACUUACAAAUGGAAUCUUAGAGGCUUUAUCAUUCCACCAAGCUAAGAAUCCCAACGAUGCAAAGAAGCUCAAACCACCACACAUCCAAGCCAAUGCCUCAUACUAUUCUCAGAAAGAAGACAUAAAAUAAAAAAUCAAACAUAAGAAUAAACAAGGGACGGAAAAAAGAAACUCAAUUUCUUUAAUUAAUCCAAAAUCCCGCAACGAUAAUCACCAAAAGGACCUUAAAAAUUCGAAAAAUUUAUUACCUUUCCGACAGUAUCAGCGAUUCGAUCGAUGCAAGGUUCUGGAAAGGCAGUUCCAUUGUCCCACAUUAGCUCGUCAUUUACAGGAAGCUGAAGCGUCAAAAACAAUGUGAAACUAUUUUAGGGUUUUGGGUGAAUUGUUUUAAUAUAGUCAAGGAAUAAAUCAGGAAAACAAUGGAUUGAUUAAGCUUACAGGCUUGUCGGGCACAAUAUGUUUGCCAACAGGGAGACCCAUGCCGGAACGGAGACGGAGAGAGGAGGCAGCGGAGCGUGAAACGAUGCCGUUUCCGCCCAUGAUCUUUGAUGCUACAUUACUCAAUCUUCCUGCCAUUUUUUUUUUCCUUCGCUUUCUCUAGAACUGAACAGUAGUUUCCUAUUGGGUAAGUUAAUGUAUGGUAGUGUUGGGUCUCGAUAUCACCCAACUUGAUAGGCCCAUCAGUGGUAUUAGGGAAUAAACAAAAUGGAACGGGCUCAUUGUCCUUCAAUAUGGACCUGUUUAUGUACGAGAGAUCAUAAUCAUACUACAACAAUAGUUGUAUAAAAAAUUAAUGGUCGACUUGAGAUUAUGAAAUAAGAGGAGCACUGAGCCAUCAUAAAAUCGAUUAAAAGAAUAUUUGAAUCAGAUUUAAAUAUUUAAUUUUAUUGUUAUAAAUUAUAAAAUGAAUCUUUAUAUUUAUAUUAUUUAUUUAUUUAUUUUCUUAUUUUUUAUGAUUUUUUAAAUUUUAAAACAUUUUAGAAAAAAUUAAUUUUAUAAUUGUUGAAUUAGGAAUUAAUAGUUUAACCAAAAUCAACUGUAUAAUCACAUAUGGCAUUCAAACAUGUCAUCCAUGAAAGCAAAUAAAAUUUAAAGAGAUAUACAUUUGACAUCCAUUUGUUGCCAAAGUAAUGAAAAAAAAAAUAAAGAAUUUGACAAAAAUGGAACCAAAGUUCACUACCUCAAUUAAAAUAAAUAAAGAAGAAUUAUAUAAUUAUGAAUAUCGCUUGGAUACUCCAUAUCAAAAGACAAGUUACACUGGUUAUUCAAGGUAAGCUUACAAAGGUUAUUCGCCACUUUAUUUCUAUCACGUCCAAUCCACUUAACAUCGGCUUUGCCGAAUAGCUCAAUCAUGCCUCUAGUUUUUUUGAUCUGAUGGCCCAAGAUCGUAAUGUCCUCAUGGUGUUUUCGAAAAUGAUUGACUAAGCUCGCAGAAUCAGACUCAAAGAUGACCUUAUCGAAGUUAAACGAGCGGGCCAAAGUGAUACCCUCAAUCAACGCACUUAACUCCGCCCACUAUGUACUCAUAUGAUCCCCUUAUAACUCACAAUGCCACCAAAAGCGAAACCAUUGUUAUCACGAAUAAUAAUCCCAAAUGAAAAAAAUAAAGUUAACAGGGUAGAUUAGCACACGACAUCAAAUUGAACGAUUUUUUAUAUAGAUACCACAUUAUAAAUUGGGUACAAAUUCAGGAUCAAAUAUGAAACUAUAACCCACCUUCUUUUAAUGCUUGUUAAAAUAACAAGCUUUAUCUCAUUAUCUAAUUUCCAAGAUUAAUAGAAUAAAAAAAAAGGUUAAAAAACCAAAUACUAGUAAUAAAAUAAAAGGUCAUUUUACAAUCUAGUUAAUUAAGUGAUCGCAUCUUUUUUUCCUUAAUUAUCGGAUAAUUUAAUUGAAAAUGUAAUUAAGAGGACAUUAAUUAGUCCAUCAUCCGAUCUUAAAAUGAAAGAAACAAUUUAGUGAUAUAAUAUUCCAAGAAUAGUCUCCCAAAUCAUAUUCAUUAGGAAUUGCAAAUCUAAUGAAGAUGAUGAUUUGCAAUUUUUAGAUUUAUAUCUAAAUAUCAUCCAAAAUGAGAAAAAAAAACUGAUCACAGACAAAGUCGUAUGCAAAGGUUUCGUGAAAUGAACAGAUUGAAAUAAUUAUAUCCAUAACAUUUUAUUUCAUGGUCAUAAAUGAAAAAAAAAGAAAAAUCUCUGAUUACAUAAAAAACCAGAAUCGCGACAAUGGAAAGGAAGGUGAUAACCAUUAGCCAUCUCGUCCAUAAGAACAUUAUUCGCACAAACGAUGAUUCAUGCAUGACAAAAAAGACCUAGACUAGACCAUUUGCCCAAGCAGAUAAACGAGGAGAUAAUGACAAGAAUAGUGAGAGCGGUUUCGUUAGCAGUAGUAGGUUCUGGUUGGCCGACAUCCACAGCCAUUGAGCAGUAGCUCCAGUUGAACGGUAGGGUCGGCUUCAACGAGACCCAAGUUAUUGGCCUUCACGAUAGCGCAAAGGCAACGCUCCGCUUUAAGAGCUACCAAAUGUUGAAUGUGGGUGCAGCAUGGGCUAUCUUUGGCAAGAAUUCCCCCGGGCUUCAACACGUUGACGCAAACAUUCACGUUAUUCUUUGGGCAUUCGGUAUGUUUAACAAUGUUAGCGUUGGCCACUGAGAAAAAGAGCAGGUUAAGGGAGAGAAGUAGGAUUGCUGCUGAAACCUUGGAAGCCAUUUAUCAAAGGAAACACAAAUUGAACUUAAUUAGUGCAAAGGUUGGUCGAGCUGAAGAAAAACGUUGAGUUCAGAGAGGCUUUUUAUAGAUGGGAGGUAGGGAACAGUUUGGGUUUUAAAAAAACAAAUACAAAAUGGAGUCCCAAUAUGGCCAAUUUCGAAUCACGAUCUUCGAUAGGCUUUAGAUGCUUUGAUUUUCGUUUUUUUAUAAUUUCCCUAGGUUUUGUUUUAGGUUAAGCUAAGAUCAUGCAUUAUUUUAGGAUGAAAGCAUUUGCAUUGCUAAACUUACGGCUAAACCUAUGCUUUACGCCCAACACCUGAUGGUCGGCAGAACCAGCGAGGAAAGUGUAUACUAGGUUGUUAAAAAA
Molecule: long non-coding RNA, 57047 nt
Filed under: Gossypium barbadense (sea-island cotton)
Lineage: Eukaryota; Viridiplantae; Streptophyta; Magnoliopsida; Malvales; Malvaceae
Description: long non-coding RNA (GBAR_LNC011971)
Source: RNAcentral